GGCUAGUAACCAUGCAUGGGAGAAAAAAGAAAUCCACAUAGAAAUAUGUAACAAUAAAAUUUGUUGUGCUCCAAGUUACGUUAGUUUCAAGUGCCACUUAAUUAGUGAUUUUGUGACCGAAUAGAGUAUGGUGUAAGAUGUUUUUUUUCCCUGAGAAAUUGAAGUAAUGUUUCCUCAUUCAAGACGAGAAAAUCUUGAAAAUAAUAAUGAAAAUGAGUAAUAGACACCCUGUUAGAUGUAUGCGGUCAAACCUAUCCUUAAAAAUUGUUUAAAUUCAAAUAUAUAAUAAUUAUACUUGUAAUUUAUUAUCUAGGAACAUACUUACAAAAUACCAUUUUUUUUAUCUAUUUCUGGAUGCAUGUUACUACAGAAACUGAUAGUUAAUGUGAACUAACUCAACAAUUUUGAUAAAUUACCAACAAUAUCAUUCUCUACAAACAUAUUGUUACCAGCUAGCAUAUAUCCGUUGGACAAGUAACACAAGACUAUAAACUGAAACAAAAAUUAUUGGAAAAGACUGUCACUCAACUAAUGAUGUGCAUGUAUGUGAGUGCCUGCGUGUUCUACCAUAAAAAAAAUGAGACUAAUAUAACUAAAAGGUAUGUUUUAAAGUUUGGGUCAAUUAUGUAUAGAGCCUUGUUGCGUGUCCUUCUUACCACUUUUCUAGUUCUUUUUCUCGUUGCUAAGUAUAAAUCCGUGCCAGUGUCAGUACAGAGUUUAGCAUGGUACUACCUUUGGCUAUGCUGUAAAGCGUGAGUUCUGGGAGGGCCAUGACACUGGCAAUGGAGGAGAUGUGGACGAUGCUUCCCCCACCGGCAAUGGAGGUGUUGAGGAGGAGAGGGUGCGCGAGCUGGCUGAGGUGGAAGCACGACUCCAGGUUGGUCGCCAUGAGCCGCGAGUAGUCCUCCGCCGUGAACUCCAUCGCCGGCUUGCUGAUCAACUGGGCCGCAUUGUUCACCUGCCACUCAUACACAUUAUACAUGCCUGUUCUCAUGAAGGUGUUGACAAAAGAGAAGAAAAGAAAAAAAAAGUCUUACUAGGAUGUCGAGCUUGCCGGCGAAGGUGUCCCUGACCGUGUCCAUGAGCUUCUCCCUGUCGGCGCGCACGCCGACGUCGCAGACGGAGACGGUGACGGUGAGCCCCUUCUCCUCCCACCUCCGGCGGCACUCCUCCAGCUCCGCCGCGUUGCGGGAGCACGUGUGCACCCGCGCGCCGAACGCCGCCAGCUCCUCAACGAUCGCGUGCCCGAUGCCCUUGCUCCCGCCGGUGACCAGCGCCGUCGCGCCGGCGAGGCUCCACCUCUCGCCGCUGCCGGCGGUCGCCAUGUAUGAGAUCUCUAGCUCUGUGCGGACAGUCGUUGGGGAGCUUUGUCCACUAUGCUAAUGGUGGCAUAUGAAUUAUGUAUGGUAAUGGACGGAUUUGACUAUACCUGUGUGUGUGGUCGAUGGGUGCCACGUCGGCAAUUAUAUGUUGGCCCUCCACACACACUUCGGGAGGAAAAAAAACCGUACACAUGCACCACAUACACCAGAGACAAGAGCCAGUGGUCCAUGUGUGCUCGUCUGUUCUAACAGACGCCACACGUAUACCCAAAGGAUAUAGGGACUCCAUCUCUCGAAAGCUACGCAUCCCUUAGUCGAUGGCCAGAAAGGAGGAGAUCCGAGAUGACGAUCUAUCUCAAAACGAAACCGACGUUAUUAAUUAUUGGUUAUCUCACUGUCGGAAAACGAAAAGGAUUGACCUUUAGUGCCGGUUUCAAACGGAACGGGCGACGCAGGGCCCACGGUCCGCGUCCCAAGCACGUUCAAGGCGGCCGAGACAUCGACGCACCAUUUUUGUUGCUUCCAUCGGCAACGGGAGAAGUGCAAAGGAUAGCGUUCAGCCAUGUGUGGUGGCAGGAGUAUGUUGGACUGUUUGAAGGCACUACCGGAAACAGUAGAAUUGCCAAGUGCUUGAGGGUUUGCCGAGUGCAUUCCAUCGGGCACUCGGCAAAGAUUCCAACACAUAUGACGGGGAGUUCUCCCAAGAAGAUGGGCUCGAAGGGAGUUUUGAGAUAGACUUAACUGAAGCGAUUGGAAUGAAAUAGACAAUGAAAGGGUUGCUGACGAGGACGCUGGAGACGAGGUUCAGAAUGUGAAGGACUUAGAAUUACUUCAGCGAUUACAUUUAGGCAAUGACAGUGAUGACGACAUUCCUCCUUCGGAGCACGGGCAUGAUUAUAUCGACACGCAUGAUAGUGAUGAUGAGACUUAUGAUCCAGCUAAUCCCGAUUAUGAUGAUUAUUUCUAUUACAUGUAUGAUCCGUACUAAUUUAUUUAUUAUUUGCCAUACAAUGUUAUUUUUGAAGUAUGUUUAGUUUAUUUUGCAUAUCUUUCUAAGUAUGUUUUGUUUAUCUGUGCUAAUUGGUUUACUCUUUUUAAUUGCAGGUGAUUGAACAAUGGUGGGCGGUACGAGGAAGAUCGUGACGCUUUACAAAAAAUUCACUGUUGCAGCUUCACGAUCCAGUGCAUCUGAGGAGUCCGGGAGGGGUCGAGGGAGGGGUCGAGGCAUGGGUAGGGCACUGGUCGAGGGAACGGAGGCGGCAGAGGUCCAGGGUGGAGGCAUGAGGUUGAGGGAAGGGUAAAGGGGCGAGACCCCCGUCGCCUGUAGCUUCCUCGUCGUCGUCUAAGGAGGAGGAGGUACCUUCCGCGCACGCCUCUGGUGACGAGGAGGAGGUACAAGAGGAGCAGGAGCAGGUGAAGGAGGAGGUAGGGGGUUCCGAGGUCCCUCGACCCCCCCAAGGUGGCCGAUACCUCUUGAGAGACGCCGAUGAUUCGACUCUCUAGGAAAAAGUAAGUAACUUUAGAUGUUCUCAAUAAUUUUUCGUUUGAUAUGUUGAAAAUUACAAUAGAAACUAAUAAUUUAUCUUAAUUACUUGGGCAGGAGUUGGAUUAAGAUCAGUGAGGAUGAUCACAACCGCAAGGUCAACGGCAUCCUUGGUCUUUUGUGCAGGCUACACUUCCCUGGCUUCGUGGAGUUUGGCGGAUAGCAGGAGCCGACCUACACGUGGGACCACGACGUCGUCGGCGGUGAUGCUGUUGAUCGUGACGACAGGGUAUUCCCCAACAAGGCGGAGCAGGUGAAGGCUGAGCUAUGGGUAAGUCUUCCUCGCAUUACAUUGCUCAAUACAUCACAUUCACUGGGCAUUCUUGAAAUAAUGACUGUAUACAUCGCGUCUAUAUGCAGGACAUCUUCAGAUGCCAAGAGGGAUUCGAGGCCAAUGCGGCCUCCAUCUCUGACUGAUGAAGCUGCCAAGAGGAAUUCAUUUCUUUAUUCUAACGCUCAAUUCUGUAUAAUUUCUAAUCAUUUUGCAUUUUUGACGCAAUCAUCGUUACAUGAUGGGUAGCCUUGCUCCCAGUUCAAGGCAUGGGUUCUGUCUCACAAGGGCAAGGCGACGGCCAAUAUCGACUUCAACCCAGAGGACCUGUCUAAGGCGUACAACAAUCCCAGCAUCCACAGCCGCGUCACUGAAUACACAACGAUGGCAAGGGAGGUUCAUGGGCCAAAGUAUGAUGGAGAAAUCGUGAUGAGGGUGGAAGGAGGCAAGAAGCACAGCCGGUACUGGAUUGACGACAGCACAAUUGACACGGACUCUACUCCCACUCUCUCCCAAAUCCAAGCAAGGAGCACGAGCUCGAGCCCGGUGAUACACCCACGGCUGAACACUACACGGUUCUAGAUGGAGGCUCUCUAGGUCAUUUCUGCUUUAUUCAUCGUUCGUUGAUUUUUACAUACUUUUGCUUUGCAUUGUAACAUUGGGAUGAAAUAUUGUAGGCCCAGGUGGAACAAGAAAGGAAGCGAUGAGAGGAGAGGGAGGCAGUGAUGGAGGCGAGGGUGGAGGCAGCUGAGCAGAGGACGGAGCAGAUGUUCCAGUAUAUGCAGAGUGUUUUUGAGAGGAUGGGUCAACCUCCGCCAUCGAACCUAUUCCCUCCACCUCCUACAUCUACUCCUUUGAGUCACUCAGCAAAAUUAUAAUCACCGUUUGUAGUUUAUGCAGAAUCUAGAAACUAAAAAUAAACUAGAAACUCUAAUUAAACUAGACACUAAAAAAUAGAAACUAGAAACUAGAAACUAGAAACGUGGUAUAUAUGUUGCAGAACACACAAUAAAAAAAGUGACUUAUGCAAUCUCUUCUCCUUUGUGCAGGGCCAACCAGCGGCAUCCAAUGAGCCAUCGGACCCAGCUUGAUCGCAGUGGCCAACGCGGUCUGCUCAGUGACUGAUGUGUACUUGUGGUUGCACGGGUUGUCUCACUUCUUUGCAUAUGUGGCAUAAUACUUGUGGGUUACUUUUCAAACCUGCCAACUCGUGGAUUACUUGUGGUUGUGAAUUUAUUUGUGAUGAUGACCUUUAUUUGUAUGUUGUGAAUGUCUAUUUGUGGUUACAAACUGCCUGUGAUGCUUAUUACGUGCCUGUGAUGCGUAUUGUACACUACGGGAAACAGACAGUUCGCCGAGUGCCUGGGGCACUUGGCGAAGGCCCGAAAACCCUCGGCGAAACGUUUGCCGAGUGUAACACUCGGCAAACGACACACGGUAAAAUUUUGAGUCGUCAAAGUUAGCUUUGCCGAGUGUUCUAUGUCGUGCACUCGGCGAAGCUUUCGCCGAGUGACAACAAAACACUCGGCAAACAUAUUUUUUGAAAAAAAUAAAAAAAACAAAAGUGGCAGCCGGCACCACUGCCGGCCACCACCGCCGCCGCCACGCCACAGCCGCCGGCCACCACCACCGGCCUCCACCACCGCCGCCUCACCACAGCCGACGCCCACCGGCCUCCACCACCGCCACAACCGCCACCCGCCACGCCGCCGCCUCGCCACGGCCGCCGCCCGCCACACCACCACAUCCGCCGGUGGACGAGGACGAUGGACGAGGACGGUGGUGGGGGAGAGCCGGAUCUAGCCCGUCCGCCUAGAUCUAGCCCGUCCGCCGCCCGGAUCUAGCCUCCGCCGCCCGCCGGACGCCGCCUCCCCUUCUCCCCUCCUCCGCCGCCCCCCGCCGGUCGACGUGGACGCCGCCGCCUGGAUCUAGCCCCCGCCGCCCGGAUCUGGCCCGUCCGCCGCUCGGAUCUGGCCCGUAAGCCGGGGAAGAGGGAGGGGAGGGGGCCGGGGGGGGGGGAAGGGUGCUGGGGGGGGGGGUGGGGGUAGAUUGUGGUGGGGGGGGGUGGGGGGGGUUUUGAGUAGGAGUGGUUGGUUAGGGGUGCGGUGUAAGGGGGGGGAGGGUUGGGGUUGGGUAAGUGGGCGGGGNNNNNNNNNNNNNNNNNNNNNNNNNNNNNNNNNNNNNNNNNNNNNNNNNNNNNNNNNNNNNNNNNNNNNNNNNNNNNNNNNNNNNNNNNNNNNNNNNNNNNNNNNNNNNNNNNNNNNNNNNNNNNNNNNNNNNNNNNNNNNNNNNNNNNNNNNNNNNNNNNNNNNNNNNNNNNNNNNNNNNNNNNNNNNNNNNNNNNNNNNNNNNNNNNNNNNNNNNNNNNNNNNNNNNNNNNNNNNNNNNNNNNNNNNNNNNNNNNNNNNNNNNNNNNNNNNNNNNNNNNNNNNNNNNNNNNNNNNNNNNNNNNNNNNNNNNNNNNNNNNNNNNNNNNNNNNNNNNNNNNNNNNNNNNNNNNNNNNNNNNNNNNNNNNNNNNNNNNNNNNNNNNNNNNNNNNNNNNNNNNNNNNNNNNNNNNNNNNNNNNNNNNNNNNNNNNNNNNNNNNNNNNNNNNNNNNNNNNNNNNNNNNNNNNNNNNNNNNNNNNNNNNNNNNNNNNNNNNNNNNNNNNNNNNNNNNNNNNNNNNNNNNNNNNNNNNNNNNNNNNNNNNNNNNNNNNNNNNNNNNNNNNNNNNNNNNNNNNNNNNNNNNNNNNNNNNNNNNNNNNNNNNNNNNNNNNNNNNNNNNNNNNNNNNNNNNNNNNNNNNNCGGGCACUGCGACAAAUGGUCUUCUGGUCGAGAGAUGUGCUCGGCAGAGUGCUCCAAACCUCCAUGUUUUACUAAUCUAUUUACAUAGAACAGACUCAUAUGUCAAGCAUCUCUCGCAUUCCACGACGGGGGAAGUGAAAACUUGCCGUGUGUAUUUUCUUUGACCGAGUGUUUUUUUGCGAGCACUCGGUAUAUCUAGCUCUUCGCCGAGUGGCCUAGCCAUGGACACGCGGCAAAAAAAUACACUCGGCAAAUCGGGGCUUUGCCGAGUGUCAAAUAAAAAACACUCAGCAAACCCCCCUAUUUGCCGAGUGUUUUUUUUGACACUCGGCAAAGAGAGUAGUUUGCUGAGUGUUUUUUAUUUGACACUCGGCAAAGCCCCGAUUUGCCGAGUGUAUUUUUUGCCCGAGUGUUUUUGGCUUGGCACUCGGCGAAGAGCUUGUUUGCCGAGUGCUCGAAAAAAACACUCGGCAAAAAAAAUACACUCGGCAACUUUUAACUUUCCCGUAGUGGUAUGCUUGUGAUGUUUGUUUGAGGGGUCUGUUCUAUGUGACAGAUUAAUAAAAUAGGGAGGUUUUGAGCACUUUGCCGAGUAUAACUCUCGGCAAAGAGGACAUUUGCCGAGUGCCACGGGCAAAGACUCGGCAAAGAGGCCAAUUUCUAUUAUUCUGGGAACCUUUUUUGCCGAGUGUUUUAGCUUUGUUGAGUGUAUUUUCCUUGACACUUGGCAAAGCGACCAUAAAAAACUGGCCCUUGCGCACUACUUUGCCAAGUGUUUUCGCCUUGACACUCAGUAAAGUUCAGAAACUUUGCCGAGUGUUUUUCCGUCGUGCACUCGGUAAAAGCACCAUCACCGUGCCAUCCCGUUAACUUUUUUUUUUGCCGAGAGUUUAUUUUUGCCGAGUGUUUAUUGACACUCAGUAAAAAGUUUUGCUGAGUGCCCGAUGAUUGACACUCGGCAAACAGCUCUUUGCCGGUAAAAUUUACGCCGCGUGCUGUUUGCCGAGUGUUAUAUUCGGCAAGGCCUUUGCCGAGUGUCUUUUGCAAAGCUACUGUAUCCCGUAGUGAGAGAUGUACGAUUGAACUAUACGCUUUGUAUUUACCUUCGUUUUAAAUUGUAGAUUAUUUUAGCUGUCUUAGGUUUGUAGUUUUUGCUAUGAUCCCAGUUUGCCGCUACUCAUAUUUACGCAUAUUGGGUUUGUUUGGAUGGAGACCUGGCAGGCAGCUUUCUAGCCAGGCAGCGAUCUUAGUCCCAGGCGACCAAAAUCGGACGCCUGAGAGCACUGCUGAACCGGGCAGCUCCACUCAGGCCCAAAGCAAACAUGCCCAUUUAUACUGCCGAGGUAAGCAGUUAAUAUGAAAUAUUAGUAUUUUGGAUUAGCGUGACCAGCAGAGUCGUAACAAACAGAGAUGAUGCGACUGUCCGAUCCAGUUGGUACUGCUACAGUUGAAACCAACGGAGAUGCGUGCAGGAAAGAAAAACGAAGGCCACGUAGGCACGUACUGGUGAAAGCCACGUGUGUAGAUGCUACUCGUUCCUUGUGUUCGUCGUGUUCUCUGACAGCGGCCACGCAUGGCGACGGAGGCCUGCAAUUGGUGGCGUCGAUCAAGAGCCAUCGUGGAAUGUCUGGCCAGUGCUGAUCGACUGGUUGAUCUGGGUGUUUCAUUUCCUGCCAAUGAUUUUGAUAAAGAUAGAUAAUAUAUUAUAUUCCUGUCUCGAAGCUAGAAAGGGCAAAUGUUUGACAGAAAGACGUUUUCUGCUAAAGGUACAUUUCAUUUUAAAUAAGAAAAAUAAAGUGCUGAUGAGAUAAAUUCUAUUUAUUAACUUGUGUAGAAAUAUAUCUGAAAGUAAGUUUGACCCUCAUAUUGGAAAUUGCAAAACAUGCCAUGGACCGACUGACUCUGCAACCAUCUCAUCAUGUCUUUGCUCACCAUACACUUUAUCCAUGCCGCCAACAAUAAGGGCUACUUCGACUUCUCUAAAAAUAACUCCGGCUCUGACUCCUCUGGUGGAGCGGCUUAUGCGGUGAAUGUGGAGCUAUUUUGAAAAACGUUUGGCAGAACGGCUUUACCUGUUUUUCAUGAAUGGAUUGAAGAUAUCAAAUGUCCAAUAUGCCCCUUGAUAUAUGACUUGGUUGUUAAGAUGAAUAAUUGUAUCCUGAGUUUAUAAUUUUUAUUCAUGUAAAAUAAAAAAAUGAAAAUAAAUUACUACCUCUAUCCUAUAAAGGAUGCAACUAUGGUAUGCGUGCUAGUUAAAAUACUUCACGUUUGACCAUAUUUCUAGUAAAUAUAUUUACUAUUCACAUUUAUGGCGCCAAAUUAAUUUAUUAUGAAAAUACAGUUCAUAGUUAAUCUAAUGAUGUUUAUUUGAUAUUAUUUAUAUUUAUAAUUUUUCAUCUAUAAUAGGUCAAACUUGAUAUAGUGAACCAUGACACUGUUCCAGAAUUGCAUUCUUUUGAGGAUGGAGGGAGUCUUUGUUAACCAAUAUUUGUGCUUGCUAAAAAAAAGUGAUGUCGUUUUUUCAAUUUUUAACGCAUCUAUUUUUUCUCUUUAUUUAGUUCCUCGGAUCAUUUCUUUAUUCUGAUCUCUUUUUUAUCCUUUUGUUUGUUCCUUAUCUUUUCCUCUCUUUCCUACUCGUCGCCUAUUUCUGGCAGUCUCGCUGCGCCGCCGUCCUCCCACGGCCCUGCUCCAUCCUCACAUCCGCGCUGCUCCCUUGCGACCACGUUCCGGCCUCACAGCGUCGCUUCCCCAGCGCCUUGCUCUUCCCCUGCUACACUGAUGCCGGCAAGGGUGGCUCGAACGAGGCAGGGAUGCCUCCAAGGCAGCCACGCGGUGGUUGUCCCGGCUGCAUACAACCACGCUGACGGUAAGAGAUUGAGGGCGCUAUUGAGCUGAGGGGCAAUUUCGUUCUUGUGUCUGUGGGGAAGGGGAGGACUCGGUAGAAGCUACAUUUUUAUUUUUUUUUCUCCGCCUCUCUAGUUCAUUUUGAGAACGGCUCCAGGGUUGGUUUCGACACUGAAGCCGUUUUUCCAGAGGGCGUUUGGCAGGGCUCUGGUAGGAAGCCGCAGCAGGAGCCGGUGUUGGAGCCCUGCCAAAGCGCCCCUAACAUUCUUUUUGUGACUGUGGCGGUGAGAGAUAGCUUGACACAUUCAAACCUUUUCUUUUAUCUUUUUUCCCUAUGAGUAAACUUUACAUAACUACACGCACAGACACCUUUUCCAAGACCAACUACACAUUCAGUUAUAUUCAUCCCAACCCAACACAUGACAUGUGCUGCUCAUAGUCACAUGUUCGUGCGAUGGGAUAUAUAUAUAUAUCAUCAUAAUUUUAAUACUCCCACGAUACACGUGAAACAUGCAUGUAAAAUAAAUGUAGCGUGUCAUGCAUACAAGCACAGAGAGCCACUGCAGCACAAACCGUUAUUUGUGCUGGCUCAAAAUUGCUGGUGGGUGCUUUGACCGUCAGCAUAGUGCUCAUUUACCCACCAGUACAAAUAUUUUCUGGCGUAGUGAUCUUUAAUUUCCUUUUUUGUGCCAUUGGUUCUUCGUCGCCGAUUAGCUACUCAAGCACUUAUAGUUCGACCACCGUCAACAGAGAUGACUUGGCCAGUGACAUAUGAGGCUCCUGGCAUACACAGGAAUGAGACCACUGAUGCCACCUCUGCUGCAUCCGCGCUCCGCCCAAUGGGAUUCGCGACAAUACUUGCUCCAGGAUGUCUGCUCCUAACUGUCAUCUCCAUGUCAGUUAGCAGGUAGGAGCAAUGGAAUUCUAUAGUUCAAGUAAAGGUAAUAUAUAUGACAGUAAAAUGGAAAAAAUGCAUAACAAUAAAGACAAGAGAAAAUGGAAAACAACUCGAGUCCAUGGCGUCGGUCUCAUGUACACGUACGUCUCUGGUCAUGUCAGUCGCGACGAGGCAUGGUGCAACGCAAAUUCACACGAAUGUUAUGGCAGGCCCACUCGGCAGCCAAGCUUUCUUGUGAGCUGGUGUGCAUCCUCCUGUGGGAAAAAAGUUAACGAUCUAAGAAAUUUACUUGUGUGAAACUUCUUUUGUGCCCGAACCAAAAUGGCAAAUAGUCCUGCAAGUUACUACAUCUACUGAAAAAUAGUCCUGCAGGUUGGUCGCCAUGAGACGCGAGUAGUCCUCCGCCGUGCACUCCACCGCUGGCUUGAAGUUCAGCUGCGCCGCGUUAUUCACCUGCAGUACAUCCAUCAUGAACACAUUUCAUCGUGUAAUUCAUGGUUGAUUUGCGCCUAUGCUUACAAGGAUGUCGAGCUUGCCGGCGAAGGUGUCCUUCACCGUGCCGAUCGAUGAGGGCCUCCCUGUCGCCGCGCACGCCGACGUCGCAGGAGGAGACGGUGACCUGCAAGCCCUUCUCGGCCCACCGCCGGCGGCACUCCUCCAGCUCCGCCGCGCUGCGGGAGCACGUGUGCGCACGCGCGCUGAACGCCGCCAGCUCUUCCACGAUGGCGUGCCCGAUCCCCGUGCUGCCGCCGGUGACCAGCGCCGUCGCGCCCGCCAAGCUCCGUCUCUCCUUGCCGACCGCUGCCAUGUCUUCUCUGUUCGACCAGUGCUCGAUCUUGCGACGCCACGCACUGCACCUGUACGAAUGCUUAUAUCGCCAAGGUCAAGAUGAGUUAGUCAAAGGUUCAUGUGUGAAGAAUUUGAAAAGGGAUAAUGGAGUACUAGGAGAGGUAGCAAAUAGAGUACGCUUCCAGCUUUGUCCCGUGUGUUCGUGCUGUCCGACACGAGCCACUCAUCUUCGCAGCCGAAAGGAUCAGGGUUGACUGAUGAGUGGUCGAUCUGGUUUUACACUCCCUGUCAACGAUUUGGUAAAAGAUUCUAAACGCAAUCAAGAUGGUUAUACAUACUCCUAGCUCGAAAUUUAGAGGUAGAGGUUUACGUAAUAGUCGUUUUCUAUUUUUUUAGAAAUUUUUAAAUAAAUCUUGGUGACAAAGUCAACUCCAGUCUUACUCAAUGAAUUCAAAGCCACCGGAUACAAGGAGAUCACAAUCCAUGGUAUAUACAAAAGCCAUUUUCUAAACUUUCAAGAAAAUUAAGCUCGGUGACGACGUCAACUUCCGUCUUAAUUAUAUGGAAGUUCUUCAAAGAGUAAAAUACAUGUGCAGAGUAAAAUACAUGAGCGGUUCCUGAACUUGUCAUAAGGUGUCAUCUAUGUCCCUAAACUCUCAAAAUACAUUUUCAGGUCCAUGAACUUAUCUCAAGAUGACAUCCGAGAACCUAAACUCUCAAAACACAUUUUUAGCUCCUCCAACUUGUCUUAGGGUGUCAUCCGAAUCUUAAACUCUCAAAGUGCAUUUUAGGAUCCCCAAUCAAGCGCCAAGUAAUACAUGCAUGAUCACUAGCAUAAGGUGGUUGCAAAGGCAACGAGCGAGGAGGAAGCAUUGCUAUCAGUGGCAGAUGACAAGUUUCAAGAUUUGACAAUGUAUUUUGAAAGUUUAGGAAUCUGGAUGAAACCCGAGGACAAGUUUAGGAGUCUAAAUAUGCACUUUGAGACUUUAGUGACUCCGAUGACACCUUGAGAUAAGUUCAUGGACCUGAAAAUAUUUUUUAAGAGUUUAUGAACCUAGAUGACAUCAUGGUACAAGUUUAGGAACAGCCGGUGUAUUUUACUCGUUUUCAAAGAAUGCAUGGCUACAUGAUACACUGGAGAUCAGGAUCUCCAAUAAUGGAGGAUGAUGUUAUUACAUCUACACCCUUGGAAGUUUUAUGUGUAACUGGUACUUAGCAGCUCAACUUAUGGUCCGGCCGCCGUCGAUGCGAAUGUCUUGGCCGGUGAUGUAGGAAGCCGCCGGCAUACAGAGGAAUGACACCACGGAGGCAACCUCCUUGGGCUCGCCACUCCGGGCCAUGGGACCCCGUGAAAUCUCUUGCUCUAUAGUCUCCGGUUCCACCUGUCAAGUUGUCAACUCCAAACAGAUUUGGAGAAAGCGAAUUAAUAAAUUUCAUCAAUUGUCCAUUAGACAAUUACUAAUCUACUACUAAUGAGAAUAGCUGUAUUUAUCUAAACAAUUUUUAUGAUUUAAAGAAGAGAUUCUAUUUAUCAGUCGACUUAUCGGUCUAUACAUGUAAUUUUUUAGCAAAAAAUUGCCAGACUUAUGAUAGUAAUGUUUUGCCAAAGAAAAAAAAAAUGGUCCGGAAGAUGGAUUUGAUACGCAGCUGUUUGCAUUGUUCUGGAGAUAAAAUUUUCUAAUUAACUUUCAUCCUCAUGGAGAUUUUCUUUUUGAAAACCAUGAAACAAAAUUUAAUUAUUUCCCCUACUUUAUAUGCCAUUUCUAGGAGCAAUUAGAUGGCCAUUUCAACACAUGUUAGAAAAGUUACCGACUUCUGGGGUAAAAAUCUUUCAAUAAAUGGACAAUAUGGAUAAGUUGAUGAUUCCGUUCCCUGUCUAGUUGACACGCACCUGUUUGAGUAUAUCAGUUGUGACAAGGCCUGGGGCAACACAGUUCACACGAAUCUUGUCCUGCGCCCACUCGACAGCCAGGCUUCUUGUAAGCUGGUUCAUUCCUCCUGCACGUACGCUAGAAUUCUGUCAAGAACAGAUAAUCUUUUCUUGUGUAUAAGACACAUAGUUUAUGGAAAUAAUUUACAUAUAUUCAUGGAGAGUUUGAGAAUUCCUCCUUUGUCGUAAUUAGUUUUGUCUGAUUCUUAUGUUUCAUUCCAAACAAAAUAAAGUCUGAUGUUGUCUAGGAUAAAAAUGUAGCAAAGAAGAAGGUGUUAACCUUUGGAUAUGCAGUAGAGCACGAGCCCUGGGACCCCUACGUAGCUUGCGAUGGAGGAGAUGUUGACGACGCUUCCUCCUCCGGCGAGGGAGGCGUUGAGGAGGAGAGGAUAUGAGAGCUGGCUGAGAUGGAAGCUCGACUCCAAGUUCGUCGCCAUUACAUGCGAGUACUCCUCCGCCGCGCACUCCGCCGCCGCCUUGAGCAGCAGCUGCCCGGCAUUGUUGACCUGUACAUUUGUUCAUGGAAGAUUCAGCGGUGGUUAUUCCACCACUGGCCACUGUAAACAGCCUUGCCGUCGACCUUAGCUUACCAGGAUGUCGAGCUUGCCAUCGAAGACCUUCUUGACAGUGUCCAUGAGCAUUUCCCGGUCAGUACGCAUUGAGACAUCGCAGACGGAGACGGUGACGACGAGCCCGUUCUCCGCCCACCGCCGGCGGCACUCCUCCAGCUCCGCCGCGUUCCGGGCGCACGUGUGCACCCGCGCGCCGAACCCGGCCAGCUCUUCGACGAUCGCGUGCCCAAUCCCCUUGCUGCCGCCGGUGACCAGCGCCGUCGCUCCGGCGAGGGUCCACCUCUCCUCUCGACUCCCGCUGGCAGCCGCCAUAGCCUGCUGCAAGUGCAACCAGCGGUUCUUGAUUACUGCCAAGUAUGCUCAGAGCGUGUAUGAGCGAGGUAUUUAAGAAAGAAAUCAACAGCAUGGGCGCGAGUGAUGAUGACUGAUUCUUCUGUGAUCGGUAGACGGAUGCUAAGAUGCGUUGUGAUGGCAGUAGCAGUUAGAGGCAACCUAAACGCCAACAAGUAGAGAUACGGCGCACAAGAGAAGACGGCUACCGGCCUGCCGCCCUGCCGGCCCACGGCUGCUGGACUUUAUUUGAAGAUCGAGACCGGCCACAACAGCAUAUACACUCCGCUACCGGUACCGGCCGGUUGAAUUUUCACACCUUGUGUCCUUGUCGGGGUGUUUGGAUACACCCUAGUACCUGUCACAUCGGAUGUUUGAUACUAAUUAGGAGUAUUAAAUAUAGUCUAAUUAUAAAACUAAUUGCACAGAUGGAGUCUAAUUCGCGAGACGAAUCUAUUAAGCCUAAUUAGUCCAUGAUUUGACAAUGUGGUGCUACAGUAACCAUUUGCUAAUGAUGGAUUAAUUAGGCUUAAUAGAUUCGUCUCGCGAAUUAGUAUAGGGGUUCUGCAGUUAGUUUUAUAAUUAGCUCAUGUUUAGUCCUCCUAAUUAAUGUCCGAACAUUCGAUGUGACCUUCCUAAAGUUUAGUACCUCGCAUCCAAACACCAUAUUAGUUUGCUGAGCUGAGACUGAAAAUGAUGCAGCACAUAGUCUUUUCUUGUUUGAUAUUAAUCUCUUGAUAGCUGUGCCUUUUCCACCUUAGUUCCAUUUUAAACCUUUCUUGCGUUUGCGUGACCUUAGAUUCGAGCCUUAUCCUUUAGUACACUCUUUUAAACCUUUUCUUUUGUUUUGCUGCAUUGUUCUUAGUUGUACUUAUUUGUUUGCUUGUAUGUUUAUGCCGGUGAUUGCUUCGAGUAGAGGGAUUGCUAUUCGGAAGUUUUGAAGAUUAAGAGUUUCAAGAAAGCAAGAGCUGAAAAGCAAUAAAAGUAACUUUUCUUUGGAGAAAGGCAAGUGUCCCUAACCAUCCUUCUAUCUACGCUUAUUUACAAGAAUAUCUUGUAUUAAUUGGAACAUGGAGUGACCACGUACAACCAUAAGAUCAACAAGCUCUGAUCUUGACUAAUUAAUUAGAUACUCUAAUUUGUGAUAAUCUUACCAAAAGAGCAAGAGGGGCUCAUAGGUUGUGCGAUGGCUUGUCCAGCCAAGGGGUGUACGCACCACUUGGGGGGAGGGUUCAUCUACAAGGAAGUCUUAGCGGGUUAUCACUUAUUAGGGAACCUUUGUAAAAGUGUAAUAGCGUCCCUAUGCAAUCAUACCUCGGUAGUGUGAUAAGUAUUUUGUACAGCAUAGUUGGGUAUAAAGUUCUUUUGAACUAUUACGCGACCUGUGCACAUGAUCGAUUAAAACUAAGGCUUCAAGUCAAUCGAUUGCUGAAAGUUUUGAGUCAAUCGAUUGUUCUCAUGAUUCUUUUAUUUUCUCGUGAAUCAUUGUGUCAAUUGUAUAUGCGGUUGCUAUUAUUUGUCUGCGUAUUUAUUGGGCAAAGCUCUGAUCAUGUUGUUCAACACAAGAUGAGGGAUCAAUUGGUUCAUUAAUGCUGCCCUAUAAUUCACGAAUAAAAACACCGCAGUUGUUGGAGUCAAUGGCAGAGCCAAAUGAAGUAACAGCGAGGACUUGAGUGUUAUCUUGUUCAUAGGAGAUGGUUAAGGUGGCCUUGGUUCUGAUGAAUGGUAUGGGAUAUAAGGCAUUGUUGGAACCACCGUACCGUCUGUGGAAUAUGUUGCAAUGCCAGGAACAAUCAUGUGCAUUAGGAAAUGGGAAAUUUUUUAGCGAAAUCCUUUGGAUAAUAGAUUGAUAAAUUGAAAGUAGAUAAAAAAAGAUCACACAAUCGAUUUGAUGGACGUAAUUGCACACCAAAUCCUCAGCACAAUGCGCACGAGUGUAUGACAACUAUAUGUAUGCCUGCACAGCCGGGUUCACUAGGCAUGUAGUAUCGAGCUAAGCUAUGGUGCGGCCACCGUCAACGCAGAUGACCUGGCCGGACAUGUAGGAUGCUGCCGGCAUGCACAGGAAGGCCACCAUCGAUGCCACUUCCUCCGGCUCACCGAUCCUCCCCAUGGGCAGCAGCGCCAUCUCCUUCUUCACCAGCUCCGGGUCUAUGGUCUCCUGCAUGCUCAGAACACAUUUAACAUAUACUAUUAGGUUAAUUAUCAUCAUAAUCUCACAAACAUAACAAUAAUGCAAUAAGAAUUCUAGCUUCCAACUAACGAGAAUCGACCAAUGCAUGGAGAAAUACUAUAUACAGGUAACAGCUGGUUGAUGUUAGGUAAGCUUACAUCUCUGCUGAUGUCAGUCUUGAUUCCACCGGGUGCCACGCAAUUGACACGGAUGCCAUCACGGGCCCAUUCUGUGGCAAGGCUCCUGGUGAGCUGGUUCAUGGCGCCCUUGGUCAUGGAGUAGAUAGUGAGCGCUGGUAGCCCAAUGAAACCGGCAACGGAGGAGAUGUGGACCACGCUGCCGCCACUGCCACUGGCGAGGAGGAGCGGGUGCGCGAGCUGGCUGAGAUGGUAGCAGGAUUCGAGGUUGGUUGCCAUGAGCCGGGCGUAGUCGUCGCUUGUGCACUCCGUAGCGUUCUUGAACGUGCACUGUCCAGCGUUGUUCACCUGCACGCGUGCCUAGGAAUUAGCAAAUGUUUGGAGAGCUCUUCCUGAAAAUGGUUCUCUGAGAAAUAUGAUUAUUAUGUACGCAAUCGUGAUUCUUUACGAUAAACUUUACAGAGGAAGUGAAUUAGGAGGGAUCAUCUCAUUUCAUUUCAUGUAAUCACUCACACGGAAUCAUUCUAGACUAAUUCUAAACAAAUUACUUCCUCCCUAUCAAAAUAAUAUUUGUCGCUAUUACCUUUUGAUCCCAAUGUUCGACCAUUUGUCUUAUUCAAAACCUUAUGCAUGUGACCUACUUUACCAUCAAAAGUGUUUUAAACAUGACUUAACUUUUCAUAUAUUUGUAAUAAAUUUUUGUAUAAGACAAAUGGUUAUGUUGCAAGAAAAGGACAAUAGCAACAAAUAUUUCGAUAAGGUAGUACUAUUUAGCAGAGCUUCCUCCUGAAAAACUAUAGGGGGUCUACUAAACAGGCUCUUAGUUUAUUUAUUUAACUGAUGACCGAUUCAUUGAGAUUCAAUCAAACGGUGAUGAUGCUUACAAGAAUGUCAAGCUUGCCCCCGAAGGUGGCCUUGACGGUGUCCAUGAGCCUUUCCCGGUCAGUACGCACGGAGACAUCGCAGACGGAGACGGUGACGACGAGCCCGUCCUCCGCCCACCGCCGGCGGCACUCCUCCAGCUCCGCCGCGUUCCGGGCGCACGUGUGCACCCGCGCGCCGAACCCGGCCAGCUCUUCGACGAUCGCGUGCCCGAUCCCCUUACUGCCGCCGGUGACGAGCGCCGUCGCUCCGGCGAGGGUCCACCUCUCCUCUCGACUCCCGCCGGCAGCCGCCGCCAUAGCCUGCUGCAAGUGCAACCAGCGGUUCUUGAUUACUGCCAAGUAUGCUUAGAGCGUGUAUGAGCGAGGUAUUUAAGAAAGAAAUCAACAGCAUGGGCGCGAGUGAUAAUGACUGAUUCUUCUGUGAUCGGUAGACGGAUGCUAAGAUGCGUUGUGAUGGCAGUAGCAGUUAGAGGCAACCUAAACGCCAACAAGUAGAGAUACGGCGCACAAGAGAAGACUUCUACCGGCCUGCCGCCCUGCCGUCCAACGGCUGCUGGACUUUAUUUGAAGAUCGAGACCGGCCACAACAGCAUAUACACUCCGCUACCGGUACCGGCCGGUUGAAUUUUCACACCUUGUGUCCUUGUCUUAGUUUGCUGAGCUGAGACUGAAAAUGAUGUAGCAUUGUAUAACCAGGAGAGGUUUUCAAUACUAUAUAUGCUGCGGCACCUUUUUUAUGUAUAUCUCAUAUUCCGUAACACGAAAUUAACGCAUAUAAAAGUGUUUGCAGAUAUAUAUGAUAUGAAUAUAAUUCUUCUAAAUUUAUUGGUCAAAUUCUUAAGAUCGAUCGCUAUUGGUCAAAGAUUAAGAAUUUUUAAUCUUGAAAUGUAUACAUGUCCUACGAAAAGAAAAGGAGUAUAAACUAGCAAGAACGAUCGAGUUUUCAUAUUAACUCAUUUUCAAUCUUGAUUCUCUACAUGUGACAAAGGUCGGUAAAUCAAGACAACAAUAUUGUCCGGCAUAGAGAUUCAUAUUGUGACAGACUUCAAAUUUAAAAUUUCCUCGGUUAUUGUUUCUACCCUCUUCCUAAUAUGACGCAUUAUUCUCCUAUUUUUCUUUCCCCAUGAGUCUUCAAUUUUUUUUUAGAAUUCACAAACUACCAAUAUUUUGUGCUGCUAGGAUCACAAAUAUUUAUAAUCCUGUGAAGCUGGUCCACCAAGUAAAAUUCACUCCAUUUAUCCAGUUUAUUAGUAUGCUAGAAAAAUUCAGAAUUAACACAAUUUGUUUUCUACUAUUAAGGUCAUACAACAGUGAUCCAUCAUAAUAGUUUAUAGACAUUAUUUAAUACAUCGAUCUUGUCCUGAAUGUUAAGUAGUUGGUUCAUCUCUAUCUGCAUUAUAUUAUCCACUGCCUGAAAGAGAACGUGGACGCAAAUUAGCACUAUACAUAUCGCCUCUGAGGCUCUGACCAUACCAUAGAAAAAAAUUAGCACAAUUAUGUGAAGAGAAACACACACGACAAGUUGACUUAACUUUGUCGUGCGUUGAGCUGCUAAUGUCAAAGAUCUGCAUUUAUACAAUGCAUAAUCACCUGAAUAUCUAAAGGUAGGCAAGCAACACACAUGUAAUAAAUAAAUUAAUUGGCAAGCUAGAUUGGAAAUUUAAGUCGUCAGCAAAAUGUUGUGCACCCUGUCACAUCUUUGAAUCAUCAUCGGCAUUGACAUUAAUUUCUUAAAGGAAAAAUAAGUAUUCCCUGAGUUCCAUCAAAGCAUAGGUCUCUCAUUUUUACUUCCAGAAAUUAGGGUUAUGUGAACCCUAAGAAGACUGUUAAAUAAACUAGGAACAAUAAAUUCACUAAGAAUACGCUAGACUGUCCAUAUCACUAGAAAGGUCUGGCGAGUACUUGUUUACAAGGUCAUUUAAAAUGCAUGAUUGUCUGACAAAUUAACUUAGCAGUAUGGGCCAGAUAGUAAAAACAAAGGCAAAAAUUUUAUUCCCUUCGAUUAGGAUUAUACAAAAGAAACAACCAAUAUAGCUAGCUUGAAUAUUUAGCUGAGGUGAUUGUACAUCCUUCGCACCAAGGGUACAGUCUGCAUUAAUGCAUUAACAAAUUAAUCAAUUCAUAUCUUGUCCUUUUCUUUUCUAUAUGUAAAUUUUUGGCAGUUGGAGGGUUUAAAUAUCACCGGUUUUUACUAUCCUUUGCAUUGAUGUUCUAUAUUUUCUGGUCCUUGUGUGUCAGAGGAACUAAAAAGUUGAAUGAAAAGUUAAGGGAGCGUUUUGGUUCCCUUUGCUUAUUUUUAGCACGUGUCAUAUCGAAUGUUUAGAUACUAAUUAGGAGUAUUAAACGUAGAUUAUUUACAAAACACAUUACAUAAGUGGAGGCUAAACGGGCGAGACGAAUCUAUUAAGCCUAAUUAAGCCUAAUUCAUCCAUUAUUAAAUAAUANNNNNNNNNNNNNNNNNNNNNNNNNNNNNNNNNNNNNNNNNNNNNNNNNNNNNNNNNNNNNNNNNNNNNNNNNNNNNNNNNNNNNNNNNNNNNNNNNNNNAUCAAUAUAGUGAUUAAUAUAUAGUCUCUGGUUGCAUGCAUAAUAUAAUCGAGCUAAACAUGAAAUGCAUGCAUCAGAUAUUGAAAUUUACGAGACGACACUAGUUUUUUUUUUCUAGAUUAGUGUCCAGGUUUAACAAAUUGUUUUUGCCAAGCGAUGACAUUUGAGCUAAAACCCAACGAAGAAUGUUGGCUCUACACUGCACUACAUGCAUGGCCAGCAACUACAUUGCAAAAAACAAUCUGCUAGUGCCGUCCAUGUCUUCUCUGUGCUUCAGGUCGAGAUACUCAUAAACUGCAUCUGACCACGGAUCAAAGCCAGAUGACGGAAAUUAACAAAACCCUAAUGCACCAUUGACUUGAGCCGAUCGACCGUUGAUCUGCCGAUGUCAAGGGUAUCUCAAAUAAUGAAUCUCAUGUAUAUUCUUUGGCUAUCUGAGCUAAGAGUUCAUGCCUAUAUCAGAUGUUAAAUGGUAUGUCGGCAAGAAGAAAACUCUAUAUAAACUAGAAAUUCUAUAAGAGGAACAUGGCAGGAGGAUUGCUCGGCCGUCACUAUCUUUGGGUGCAUUCAUAUAUCUUUGCAAGAAAUUGACCUGCAUAUAUGGUUACAUCUAAUCAGUCUACUGACCUUGUGAGGUGGCUAAGUUAUAGUUAUUAACUCCCAUGAACAUGAUUAGCCUAGCUUCGAAGUCACAACACACCUUGAUACCAAUCUGGUAGACUUGCAUUGGGAGAUACUAUACUGGUGUAUACUAAUCAAUUAUUUUGGGAGAUACUGCACAUAUGGGUGUAGAUACGCGAUCUUUUUCAUGGAGUAGUGGUGAUCACAUGCAUCGAGAUGUAGCCGAGUUUUUCUAUUAAGAGCAGCAAAUCAAAGUCAAAUGAUGUCGAAGAUGCGUACGUGUCAGCGUGCGCCUUCCAGUUGACUCUUAAUUAGCAUAUAUGUUAGUUCUGGGAUUUGCCGUUUUAGUCAAAGUCCUGAAUAUUCUCUUUUCUUAGUAGGAGUCAUGAGUCAACAUACUAAGAUAAUUGCCCAUUGGUUGGCUUAGUUGAAACAGAGCAAAACAGUACAUAUGCAGCCGCCUCCACACGCAGGAGAGAAAGCUAAUGGGAAAUGGCCAAAUCAUUUCUAGUUUCACAAAAAAAAAUUCAGUAAGCCAUGAAUAUGGUAUUGUCGGAGAUCAAGAUGGCAUUGGUAGGAGAAUUGAAACCGAAAGUAUCCAAGUAAAAACACAUCAAUAUGUGUCAUAGAUCAAUAGCUUUAGUUAAAACAAUUAUCAUACAUAGAAAUGUUUAAUUGAGUAAUAGACAUUUCACAAGUCACGACUUUAAUACAUGAUUAUACUCGAAGGAACGAAGACAGGGUGCUGUAAGGUGAUGUGGUUGGUUUAGCUUGAGCCGACCCCUUGGCCCUUGUGGGUGGUUAUAGGUGGGAUGUGAAGAGAAAGUAGGAAUUCACUGAAAGCAUAUCAAAUAGGAAAAACUGAAAAUGAUCGAAAGGAUCAAAAUCAUUAUCACUCUUGCUUUUGUAUUUCUUUUUUAUUAUUUUAUUUCAUUUUUUCGUUAUCAUUCUUGUCUCCUUAUUAUCCUAAAAUUCAGGGGAAAAAUUCGAAAACAAGCCCCUGUAAAUAGGAUGUUCGUUUUCACUUUCAUUCAUGGAGAUGCGUACAAGAAAAUAAAAACGGAGCUUCCAAAGGAAAACCAAUCGAAUGUCCUUUGAUUUUAAGUUAUUGGAGAACAUGAAUUUUUAUCGACAUUACUAAAAUAUUACCUAAAAAUUAGCAGUUACUUAGUAACUAAAUUCAAAAUUAACUAAUUAUAGCCAACGUGUUGCUCUUCUUCUAUCUCAGCCUCUUCUCUCUCGACCUGAUUUAUGCAAUGUCUCCACAACCAGCACUAUACGCCAAUUGCUUAUGCCGCACCCGCACUACAGGCAUUUCUAGCCACAUUCUUUCUGGUCCUGCCAUCGCCUCAGCUCCUUCCGGAUUUCCUCUACCAUACCUUCUUGCCUUGCAUGUUGAGAAAAAAAUUAUGCACUAGAAGGCCUUACAACAGUUGAUUUUUUUUGUUUCGUCGUCUCUAAUUUAAAGCACAAAUAUGAGUUUUCAAAAUUCAGAUCAUGUAGCCUUACAACACUUAUCAUGCAUGUGAGACUUAACCCCUUUUUUCUUCUUUUUAAAGUCACAAAUUGAUACAAUCACACUAGAAAAAAAACAAGCUUAUAUUACAAGAUGUAUUCAACGGAAGUGGAUUACACAUCCAAACCAGAAAUCCUCAGCACAAUGCACUCAAAUGUACAAACAGAAUGUAGUGUGCCAGUAGCUGGUCUCACGUGCGCAUACAUACACGUGCGAGACACGUGACAACUGGACUGAUAUAAGCUAGCUAGCUAAGCUAUUGUGCGGCCGCCGUCAACGCAGAUGACUUGUCCGGUCAUGUAGGACGCCGCCGGCAUGCAGAGGAAUGCCACCAUGGACGCCACCUCCUCCGGCUCGGCGAUCCUCCCCAUCGGCAGCCGUGCCAUCUCCUUCUUCACUAGCUCCGGGUCAAUCGUCCUCUGCUCAAUCCAUCAGUUAAUCAAAGUUAAUUCAAAUAAAAACUAUAUCGAUCAGAUGAUGAUCAACUGAUGAGAAUUAAGUAACUAACUUACAUCAUUGCUAAUAUCAGUCCUGACUCCACCAGGCGCGACGCAGUUGACGCGGAUGCCGUCGUGGGCCCACUCCGCGGCGAGGCUCCUGGUGAGCUGGUUCAUGGCACCCUUGGUCAUGGAGUAGACGGCGAGCGCCGGGAGCCCAAUGAAGCCGGCGACCGAGGAGAUGUGGACCACGCUGCCGCCGGUGCUGCUGGCCAGCAGGAGCGGGUGCGCGAGCUGGCUGAGGUGGAAGCACGACUCGAGGUUGGUCGCCAUGAUACUCGCGUAGUCCUCGCCGGUGCAAUCCGCCGCCGCCUUGAACAGCGACUGCCCCGCAUUGUUCACGAGGAUGUCGAGCUUGCCGUCGAAAGUGUCCUUGACGGUGGCCAUGAGGUCCUCACGAUCAGAGCGCACGGAGACGUCGCAGACCGAGACGGUGACCUGCAGACCCUUCUCCUCCCAUCGCCGGCGGCACGCCUCCAGCUCCGCCGCGUUGCGAGCACACGUGUGCACGCGCGCGCCGAACCCCGCCAGCUCCUCGACGAUGGCAUGCCUGCGAUCACGUCCAUGGAUGUUAUUGUAACUGCACGCAUAUUAACGAACUAAUAAGUAGAAGAUCACAAGCUCAUCAGGCCUCAUAAUGUACCCGAUGCCCUUGCUGCCGCCGGUGACGAGCGCCGUUGCUCCGGCGAGGCUCCACCGCUCGGCCAUGCUCCUGCCGGCAGCCACCAUAUUCUAACUCUCUCUGCUCCUCGACUUGUAGAGAAAUGUGAUCGAUGGAUGUGGAGUGCAAAUGAGACUACGAUGAGAUGGAUGAGAUGCUACUCCACAUCCAUGCAAUGUGUAUUUAUAGGGAUCUGACAUUCUGAGAAGAUGGCACCCCUAUCGAAAUGUCUACUCCACAUCCGAGCAGAUGAGUUGCUGACUUUGAAUAAAGUAGUAUAAGACCAUACACGUUCAUCUGACGGCCGGAUUUGGACAGAUACGGCGCACAAGAAGACGGCUACCGGCCGGCCGGGCGACGACUCCUGGUUUGUUUGAAGCAUCCGUCCAUGAUAACAUACUGAUCCAGAGAACAAUUUCAAAUACUACUUUAUUUAUAAAAUUCCACUCCCAUUCAACUAUCAUGCGUAUGUGUCGUGUGUCCAAUUGUCUCAAUUUGCUGACCUGAGCAAACAGGAGCCAAUAAUGACUGACUGCUCAAACUAAUUAAAAAUGUCACUGUCUAAGUAUAGGUGAGCACACCAAAAAAAAGUAAAAGGACCCAUUGAAAGACAAAACGAUAUUAUGCAUGCCUAUAUGCAUACACAAUUACACAUUAACUAAUUCUGGAGUCUUCUCUCUCCUCGUGUACACAAGAGGAGAUACCGUUCAUGUUGCUACACAACUUUAAGUUUUAAUUGCGUUCUUUUUUUUUCUCAUUUAUUCAACCUUAGUGAAUCACUUGUCAGAUGGCACCAACGUAACUAAUUAGUAAUGCCACAUAGACUCAAAGCUUAAUUAUUUUUUCAAUCCAGAGUUUGAUCAUACAAUGAACAACCAUCCUAAUAGACAUUUUAACUCACUACUGCAAAAAUGAUUUGUAGGCGCGCCCUAUUUUUUAGGAGCGGACCGAAAGACCACCCGCUCCUACAAUAAAAAUAAGAUUUUCAGGGACGGUCGCCCACCCUUGAAAAUAAGGCUCUUUCCAGGGGCGGCUCACCCCAUUCCCGCUCCUAGAAAUCCAUGCCCGCAAUUUUUUUUAUCUUUUCAUCCGAUCUCUAGAGCCGAGUGAUCCCCUCGCCCGAUGCUAGAAAAGAAUCUGCAGGUGCGGAUGAGGCCGGGAAUCAUCCCCCCCGCCACCCCGGAAAGGAUUUUGCAGCAGCGGCUCGUGACCCACUCCUGCAAACAGCUAUUUCUAGCUACGAAAAGCAAGAGCGGGUGCCUGACCCACCCCUGCAAACCCUCUUCUACCCACCCUGAAAAAACUUUUUCUGUAGUAGCGACUGUUCAAUAUAUUGAUCUACUUUUAUAUGUUAAGUAGUCAAUUUUCUGUUUUAAUAUAAACUAGUCAUAGUCAGUUUUCUCUAUAUCUUUUGUUCGCACUGCCUGACAGAUAACGUGCACCGAGAUUUGACUGCCAUAUAUUAAAUUCCAAGGGCGCAAUACAUUGCUUCCAAACAUAGCUACAGAAAAAGUAGCACUAUAAUGUAUGAAAAAUUAUAUAUACAUGACAAGGAGUUGACUUAAUUUUGUCGUGCGUUGAGCUGCUAAUGUCAAAGUUACGAAUACAUAUAAUGCAUAAUCACCUGAAUAUACAAAGGUAAGGACCUACCAUGCUUUUUUUAAUACAAUUAAGCAAGCUAUUAAACUAGAGAUGAACUUCAUGUCAUGAGCAAAACUGUGUGCACUCUGCCAGGUGUCCACGAUUUGAGUCGCCUUCAACUUAACAUAGUUAUCAUGGAAAGCAUUUAGUCUGGUGUAUGGUUGGUAAAUUAAGUAAGAAUCUCGAUCGGGUCAAAUAUUAUUGUUGAAGCGUUUCUGACUUUCACAGCCUAGGAAAUAUGGAUACAAUAAUUUCCUUUGAUUGACGCCAAAGGUAAACGACCAAACUUUUCGACCUUUGAAAACAUUUGGGAGGGUGAGCUUGUUUAUAAAAUGGCUGUGCUUAGUAUUAUGCAACAAAAUAUGUUUGUGUCUGCAUUUGUACUGAGAGGCGACCAUAUCUCCAUUUUAUUAUCAAUCUAUGAGGCUUACAUCUGACCAAAAAGACACACUAAUGUGCAUCGUUGAAUUCAUUGAGCCGAUCGUUGAUCUGCUAGUGUCAAUACUAUGCGAAUAAUCCAUAUUGUGCAGCAAGAGAUGCAUGCAUCAAGAUGUUGAAACUUAUGAGACAAUUUAUUUCUACUAGUUUUACUUUCUUGAUUGUUGGUGUACGAAUUUCUAACAUUGGAGUUUCUGACUGCACAUCUUAUACAUCAUUUAUCAACAUUGCAUACAAAGAGGAAAAAGAGAAACAAUCACUGAGUGCCGCCCAUAUCUGACCAAAAGCCAGAUCACAGAGCUUAAGAAGAAAACCUAAUGCGCCAUUGACUUAAGCCGGGUGUUGAUCUGCCGGUGUCAAGGUAAUCUCAAAUAAUGGAUCAUGAAUAUUCUUUGGCUGUCCAUCUGGCAGCAAAUGCGUGCAUAUCAGAUGUUGAAAUCGCAUGUCGGCAAGAAGAACAUGGCAGGAGGAUUGCUCCGCCGUCACUAUCUUUUGGGUGCAUUCAUCCUUGCAAGAGACACAAGAAAUGCCUAAUGCUAGUUCUAGUUGAUCAGCAAAGAUUGGGCAAGAUCACAAGUCACAAAGCCGAUGAUGCUCGUCUUAUAGACAUGUAGCGUACAGACCGGGAUACCCAAUCCUGGAUUAAUCCUCUGUAGGAGAUGAGUGCAAUAGUACAAGUGGUGUACAGAUUGGUGCAGAUACGCAAAUCUUCCCCAUUAACGAGCACUUCGGUAAUCGAUCACAUGGAGAGAUGUUGCCAGGUUUUUUUUAACCCAGGGAAAUGAAACCAAAGUCAAACCAUGUCGAAGCUGCAACGCGAAUGCAAGUGCAUUCCUGCAGAAUCUUAUUUUGCUUGUGUUUACGAUUUUCGUUUGAGUAACAAGUGUAGAAAUAUGUGGUUUUUUUUGUUUUUUAUAUAUUCAUCUGAAAGAGUCUAGAAAUCUAUAAAAAAAUUUUUACCACAAAAGGAUGUUUAGAAAGAUAUCGGCACUGUGGUAUACGGGAUUCGGCCCAAAAUUGUGUUGCACAAUUUGGUAAGUAUGGGAACCACAGGCCGCCUAAGGCAAUAUAGGCCCAGCGACUUUGACUGGGAAUAAAAAAAAAGGCGUGAAACUAAGACAGCGCUCAUUGGCAUGACGGCCCGCGUGGCAAGGAGCAGCCCAACGCUCCUUCACGGCCCAAAAGCACCCCUGCUUCAAACACCCUAGUUUUCAGGAACGUCCAACAUUGUAUUUUUUUUUUUUGUCUAAUGAACGGGGAUGUAAAAUAUACAUAUAGAAUAGGCACAGCAGCAAUAUUCAAACAGCAUUCCGAAGUCUCUGGCUCGAGCCUGGUGAUAGAUGCUAGCUCAUUAGCUAGGGACGCCACCUCCAAAUAUUUGAUUUCAAUCUGUAAGAAGUCAGCACCAUCUCCAUUCCAAAAUACAAGAUGUUUUAAUUUUUUUUUCUAAGUCAAAUAUAUCUAAUUAAGAUUAUAGAAAAAUAUAUUAAUGUGUAAAAUAAAAAAAAUAAUGCACUAUCAAGAUAUUUGUUGGUGGAUUUAAUAAAAUUACUUUAACAUUGCAAUUAUUUUGUAUUAUUUUCUUAUAAACUUUGUCAAAGUUUGAGAAAUUUAACUUUAUAAAGUAUAAUUUAAAUUCUCAACUGAAGUGCACUGUGUUAGAGGUGCAAAGGAUCCAGCUUAACUCACUAUACUCACGAGUCACGAGCCAGCGCUGUGUGCUCCUAAUGGUUAUUUUGUAAUAUGUUCAACAAAUUAAAGAUGUUGCAUUCUGGUGAAAGGCUAGAGUUUUCUCAAUAUUUGGAGCUGUUGGAAGAACAUGGAAUCAAGCUGAAAACCCUUGUACAUUACAAGAAGAUAAGAUUACAAAUACAUUCAACCAAAACACAAACAGAGACGGAAGACACAACAAUGAAGAAGCCGUUGGCACCAUUAUUUCUGCUUCACCUUCACUCUCAACACAAACCAUAUCUCGAUCAGGUACUGACCAAACCAACGCAGUUGGCCAGUAGCCGUGCCAAAGUUGGUUCUUCCCCGGCGCCGGCGGACAAAGUCACCCGCUCGAUCAGGCGCUAAUGGUCCGACCUCCGUCGACGCGGACGACCUGGCCGGUAACGUAGGACGCUGCCGGCAAGCACAGGAACGACACGACGACGGUGGACGUACACGUCCUCCGGCUCGCCGAUCCGCCGCGUCGGGAUCCGUGAGUCCUCUUGCUCCAGUGCCCCGGGCGAAACAUGUGUGUGUAGCAUACGUGUCAACAUGCUCCUUUCAACAUAUAAUGUGUAACUAACUCGUUGAACAAAUACUUACGCCUUUCACCAUGUCAGUCAUGAUCAUGCCCGGCGCGACGCAGUUCGCACGAAUCUUAUCACGGGCCCACUCGGCAGCCAAGCUCCUCGAUCUAUCGUCAGCUGGUUCAGUCCUCCUGCAACGAUGAAGCUGGAGUAGAGCGCUUCCCCGGGGAAGGCGAUGAAGCUGGCGAUGGAGGAGACGUGGACGAUGAUGGUUCAGGUGGAAGCACGACUCCAGGUUGGUCGCCAUGACGUGUUAUGCCACUGGCCAUUGAGUAGUGUCAAAAUAUCAGAAAUGGAUCAUGCAUGAUGCAUGUAUUGACUUUGUGAGGUGGCAUAGCUAUAGUUUUAGUUGAGUCCCAUGAGCGUGAUUAGCCGAUGAUGCUAGUCUGACAGACUGGUAUAGAGCCUACAUUAAUCCUCUGUAUUGAGAUCGAUGCGUACAAGUGGUGUACAGAUGUGUUUAGAUACACGCUUAUAUCCUCCCUAAUAUGGGACUUCGAAUUUGCUGAAAUUACAUGAAGAUAUUGCCGAGUUUUUUAACCAGUAAAAUUAAGGUCAAACAAUAUAUUCUAGUACUGAACAGUCAUUGGCCAAAAACAUGUUUUGAAUUUUCCAACAAUAUAACUAUAAUGUUCUAUAGUAAGAUUGUUUGUCUCAGUUAUGAAAAUCCUUUUUUCGGUGGAUAUGAAAAAUUAAUGGUCAAUGUUAUAUCUGUAUUGUUCUAGUAGCGAAAACUCCUAUUUCAGUAUUAAAUUUUGUAUUGUUUAAAAGGUGAGAAUUUAUUGUUGCAUGUAUUUUAGCAAUAGUAUUAGAGGGGGAGAAAAAAAUAAUGAAAUAGAAAGAGUGAAGGAAAGGAAAGGAAAGAAAAUAUGUAAGACUUGUUGCAAAGAGUAAACCGUCCGCAACUCUCUAAUUGACUGCCCAGCAGUCUUCCAUUGCAGACAAACCAAAUUUCUAUUCCACAACAGUUGCUCCAUGCAAACAAAUUUUUGUUGCACCUUGUGCAAAACAUUAGGCUACACCAUCUAUUAACAAUCACUACCGGAAACAGUUGUUUUGCCGAGUGCCCCAGGCACUCGGCGAAGGCCCCAUUACACUCGGCAAAUGGUUUGCCGAGUGUAACACUCGGCGAAGUCGACUCGGCAAAGUUUUUCUCGGCAAACAGGCUGUUUGCCGAGUGUCGAUCGUCGGGCACUCGGCAAACAUUUUACCGAGUGCAACAAUACACUCGGCAACACUAAACACUCGGCACAAAGACGUUAACGGUCGUUCACGGCGACGGAAGCUUUGCCGAGUGUCUGACGGCCGACACUCGGCGAACUCUACUCCUUUGCCGAGUGUUUUACUAAAUGCACUCGGCAAACUCUACACCUUUGCCGAGUGUUUUACUAAAUGCACUCGGCGAACUCUACUCCUUUGCCGAGUGUAUUUUUCCCAAAACACUCGGCAAAAAUCCAUGUUUCGCCGAGUGCCUGCCCCGUGGCACUCGGCGAAGAAGCCCCACCCGCCAUUUUUAUUUUGUUGUUUGCCGAGUGCAUUUUUGCAAGACACUCGGCAAACAUACAAUGUUCGCCGAGUGCCACGGGGCAGGCACUCGGCGAAGAAGCCAGGCCUGCUAUUUUUUACGACCGCUUUGCCGAGUGUUCUUCCAAAAACACUCGGCAAAUGGCCUGUGUUUGCCGAGUGCCUACCUAUGGCACUCGGCAAACAAGCAAUUCCGCCGUUUCUUUGGCCCCUUUGCCGAGUGUUUGGAGAAUACACUCGGCAAACGCGUCUACUACUACCAGAAAUGGUCUCUUUGCCGAGUGUUAACACUCGGCAAAGUGUCCUAAUUCCUGCUACAAAAUAGAAAUGUUAGGUAUAAAGGACCCCUCUCAAAAAACAACCACAGAUACACAGGCAUAUUAAUGGCAGCACAAGCAUAUAAAUUGCACCACAGGAUUCACAAGCACACAAAUAGCAUUCAUAAGUUCUCGUCUAAAUAAGUAAUUCAUAAGUUCUCCACGACUUGCCGGCUCUAGGAGGCAUCAUGUCUAGCUUUGGUCUGUUGCAUAACCUUGCUUGAUCUACUCUAGCCUUGACGUUAUCCUUUGUCUUGUCAGGAAUGUCCAUGAUUGUACCAAAAAUUGCCUCAGCGAUGUUCUUUUCAGUGUGCAUAACAUCAAUAUUAUGUGGGAGAAGAAGAUCGUCAAAAUAGGGGAGAUUCCACAAGCAAGACUUCUGAGUCCAAGCAUGUUGCUCGCCAUAUCCCACAAACCCACCUUCAUGAUUAUUGACCUCAAGAGCGUCUAUCUGAGCACGAACCAAGGCUAAGGUCAACAUCUGCGGUGGGGGCUCAUUAACUACGACAUCUUUCGUAAAAUUUCUAAUAUCUGUUCUGAAAGGAUGGUCAGGAGGAAGGAAUUGUCGAUGUUUGUCGAAUGAAGAAUACUUGCCACCCUUGGUCAACCAAGUGAACUUCACUGAAGCCUUGCAUACUGGGCAGGGGAACUUCCCGUGAACACACCAGCCACAGAAAAUACCAUAUGCCGGCAAGUCAUGCAGGGAAUAGUGGUACCAAAUAUGCAUCUUGAAGUUUGUCCGUGUAGCCCAGUCGUAUGUCCAUACCCCUUCCUCCCAUGCACGGACCAAAUCAUCUAUCAGAGGCUCCAUGUACACACUCAUAUUAUUCCCUGGAUGUUCUGGAAUUAUCAACGAUAAAAAUAUGUUUUGUCGCUGAAAGAUGACACCAGGGGGGAGAUUCAAGGGGAUAACAAACAUAGGCCAACAUGUGUACGGGGCAGCCGCCAUUCCAUACGGAUUGAACCCAUCUGUUGCGAGCGCAACACGUACAUUACGAGCCUCUCGAGCUUUCGCAUCAUAAAUGGCAUCAAACUUUGUCCAGGCUUCACCAUCGGAUGGAUGUACCAGCUUGUCAGCAUUGUAUCGACGUCCGUUUUUAUGCCAUGUCAUUUGUUUCGCGGAUUCUUCACACAUGUACAGCCGUUGGAUCCUCGGUAUGAAGGGAAGGUACCGUAGAAUCUUCACAGGGAUUGCAAGCUGCUUCUUCUGACCGUCACUAGAGUCUACCUCCAGGAAUCUAGAUGAUUCGCACUUCACACAGUACUUGGCUUCCGCAUAUUCUUUCCUAAAUAAGAUGCAUCCCUUCGGGCAAGCAUGUAUCUGCUCGUAUGGCAUCUUAAGUGCACGAAGAAGUUUUUGUGCCUCAUACAUAGACUUUGGUAAGAUGUGACCCUCCGGGAGCAGGCUCCCAAAAACUGUCAACAUAAUAUCGAAGGCGUCUCGACUCAAGCUAAACUGGGACUUCACGGCCAUUAGACGUGCAAUGGCAUCCAGUUGAGAGACCUUGGUAUGCCCGUGAAGGGGUUGUUGUGCCGCAGACAACAUGUCGUAAUACGCCUUUGCGGUAGCCUCGGGCUCCUCCUCCCUAUGAGCUUCAUGAUAGUCAUCUAACAUGUCUCCCACCCCGGCGUCAUCAUCAUAUUGCUCGAUACGUUGCCUGAUGACCUCGUCCCUCCCACGAUCGACCUCACCAUGGUAGAUCCAUAUGGUAUAGUCUGACGUAAAUCCGUGCCUAACAAGAUGUUUACCCAUUCCUAACUUGGUUUGCCGACGCAUGUUUCCACAUUUGCUACACGGACACCAAGUUUCUCUUCCUCCUUUGAUCCUUGCAAAUGCCCGUUCCAAGAAAGCAUCGGUCUUAUUUAUCCAUUCAUCGGUCAACGAAUUCUGACUAGAUCGGCCCGUGUACAUCCACUGACGAUCCUCCAUCCUCUACCAUACCAGCAAGUAAUAUAAACACUCAAGUUGCAUCUACACGUUCCUAUAUUGUCUAUUAGGUAAAGAUAGGUCCUAAUCCCACACGAGGAUGUGUAGGUGGGAUUAGUUUCCAUGGUCUACUCCGACCCGAGAUAGAAUUUCGGCAGCACCUCCCCGCUGUUCUCCAAAUACACGUCCUGUGAUGGAGAUUGUGUAUCCGGAGAGCGCUAGGUACUGAGGGACAGUCCGCGCUGCACGUAACNNNNNNNNNNNNNNNNNNNNNNNNNNNNNNNNNNNNNNNNNNNNNNNNNNNNNNNNNNNNNNNNNNNNNNNNNNNNNNNNNNNNNNNNNNNNNNNNNNNNNNNNNNNNNNNNNNNNNNNNNNNNNNNNNNNNNNNNNNNNNNNNNNNNNNNNNNNNNNNNNNNNNNNNNNNNNNNNNNNNNNNNNNNNNNNNNNNNNNNNNNNNNNNNNNNNNNNNNNNNNNNNNNNNNNNNNNNNNNNNNNNNNNNNNNNNNNNNNNNNNNNNNNNNNNNNNNNNNNNNNNNNNNNNNNNNNNNNNNNNNNNNNNNNNNNNNNNNNNNNNNNNNNNNNNNNNNNNNNNNNNNNNNNNNNNNNNNNNNNNNNNNNNNNNNNNNNNNNNNNNNNNNNNNNNNNNNNNNNNNNNNNNNNNNNNNNNNNNNNNNNNNNNNNNNNNNNNNNNNNNNNNNNNNNNNNNNNNNNNNNNNNNNNNNNNNNNNNNNNNNNNNNNNNNNNNNNNNNNNNNNNNNNNNNNNNNNNNNNNNNNNNNNNNNNNNNNNNNNNNNNNNNNNNNNNNNNNNNNNNNNNNNNNNNNNNNNNNNNNNNNNNNNNNNNNNNNNNNNNNNNNNNNNNNNNNNNNNNNNNNNNNNNNNNNNNNNNNNNNNNNNNNNNNNNNNNNNNNNNNNNNNNNNNNNNNNNNNNNNNNNNNNNNNNNNNNNNNNNNNNNNNNNNNNNNNNNNNNNNNNNNNNNNNNNNNNNNNNNNNNNNNNNNNNNNNNNNNNNNNNNNNNNNNNNNNNNNNNNNNNNNNNNNNNNNNNNNNNNNNNNNNNNNNNNNNNNNNNNNNNNNNNNNNNNNNNNNNNNNNNNNNNNNNNNNNNNNNNNNNNNNNNNNNNNNNNNNNNNNNNNNNNNNNNNNNNNNNNNNNNNNNNNNNNNNNNNNNNNNNNNNNNNNNNNNNNNNNNNNNNNNNNNNNNNNNNNNNNNNNNNNNNNNNNNNNNNNNNNNNNNNNNNNNNNNNNNNNNNNNNNNNNNNNNNNNNNNNNNNNNNNNNNNNNNNNNNNNNNNNNNNNNNNNNNNNNNNNNNNNNNNNNNNNNNNNNNNNNNNNNNNNNNNNNNNNNNNNNNNNNNNNNNNNNNNNNNNNNNNNNNNNNNNNNNNNNNNNNNNNNNNNNNNNNNNNNNNNNNNNNNNNNNNNNNNNNNNNNNNNNNNNNNNNNNNNNNNNNNNNNNNNNNNNNNNNNNNNNNNNNNNNNNNNNNNNNNNNNNNNNNNNNNNNNNNNNNNNNNNNNNNNNNNNNNNNNNNNNNNNNNNNNNNNNNNNNNNNNNNNNNNNNNNNNNNNNNNNNNNNNNNNNNNNNNNNNNNNNNNNNNNNNNNNNNNNNNNNNNNNNNNNNNNNNNNNNNNNNNNNNNNNNNNNNNNNNNNNNNNNNNNNNNNNNNNNNNNNNNNNNNNNNNNNNNNNNNNNNNNNNNNNNNNNNNNNNNNNNNNNNNNNNNNNNNNNNNNNNNNNNNNNNNNNNNNNNNNNNNNNNNNNNNNNNNNNNNNNNNNNNNNNNNNNNNNNNNNNNNNNNNNNNNNNNNNNNNNNNNNNNNNNNNNNNNNNNNNNNNNNNNNNNNNNNNNNNNNNNNNNNNNNNNNNNNNNNNNNNNNNNNNNNNNNNNNNNNNNNNNNNNNNNNNNNNNNNNNNNNNNNNNNNNNNNNNNNNNNNNNNNNNNNNNNNNNNNNNNNNNNNNNNNNNNNNNNNNNNNNNNNNNNNNNNNNNNNNNNNNNNNNNNNNNNNNNNNNNNNNNNNNNNNNNNNNNNNNNNNNNNNNNNNNNNNNNNNNNNNNNNNNNNNNNNNNNNNNNNNNNNNNNNNNNNNNNNNNNNNNNNNNNNNNNNNNNNNNNNNNNNNNNNNNNNNNNNNNNNNNNNNNNNNNNNNNNNNNNNNNNNNNNNNNNNNNNNNNNNNNNNNNNNNNNNNNNNNNNNNNNNNNNNNNNACCCAAAUACAGAAUAGUCUGGCUCAAAAGAGCGUCAGAUAAAGUGCAAGUAAAGUGUAUCCUUUGCAGCAAAUUUCAUCUACAGCAAGUAGAAGUGCAUUCACCCUCAAGUGUUCUUAUGAUGGGAUCAUAUUCUUGGCGCUACGUCUCGAAGUAGAGAGUAGGGAGUAACUAGACAUAGCAAUUCGCAAACCACCAGCCCGCAUGGCGAUAGCCCGAGAAGAGGAAGAAGGCAGAUGGAGAGAGCAGGCACGGCCAGAAGGACCACCAACCGAGGUAAUUUCCCCUCCAAAAGCGUAACCUGCAACCCACGACGCUAGCAUUCUCGCCGCACUCGGCAAAGUUACAUGAAAUAACGUAUUUUUAGUGACUUCUAAUAUACUUGUUCAAAAUCGUGUCAAAAUCACUCAAAAAUUGUUAAAUUAGUUUUCUACCGAUAUUAUUCCAUUAUUUCAUGCAGUUAUAGCUCAAAUUCCAUUUAUAUCUAAUAAAAAUCUAUAAUUGCAUUUAAUCAAUAAAAAAUAUCAAACGCAUCCGAAAAAUUUCCAAAUUUUGACAUGAACCAAUCUGUGUUGUAUGUUGCCUAUACAAAAAGAUUUGAAGGCACUUCUUAAUUCCAGUGUCACUUGGACACCAAAUCUUAUUGGCUCCUUUCUAACUUCUAUGAAUCCUUCCACGAGAUUAGUCGGUUUCUAAGCAUCAUGUGUCAGAAAUUGGGCGAAAUGUUCCCAAUUUUUUACCACAGCCUACACACAUAAUAUAAUGACAUCUUGACAAAUCUUGUGAUUUUCAGAUUUCGUUUGGUUUUUUUACAAUUUAACAACCAUUGAACCAUAGGUUCGUGGUCCUGUUUUUUAAAAACAAUCAUCAAAAUUUCUCUUCAUUUUCUGGUUGAGACCUCAAUCCGGUCUCCAUAAUAUGAAUAUGAUUUUUUCACUGAUUUCAAUCCAUUAUUUCAAGUACUUGCAGUUAAAAUUUGACUUCAAUCAAAAAAUUCCUAUUAAUGCAAACAAAGCAUUAAAAAUCCCAAACAGACCCGAAAAUAGACCAACUUUUAAUAUGUAUAACCAAAUGUCCUACGUGGGGAGUAGAAAAAGUGUGGAAGCUGUUGGAGGGAUUUUUUUUUUUUUGCCGAGUGCAUCUGGGACGGCACUCGGCAAUGUGUUGAGUUUGCCGAGUGUCCAGACGAGGCACUCGGCGAACUUUUGAGUGUGCCGAGUGUGUGCGGUUAGCACUCGGCGAACCACACUUUGCCGAGUGUCGAACGGCAAGCACUCGGCAAAGGUGUAACGGCCGGCCCAACCUGGUAACGGACGACGCACGUGCGACGCACGCGCUGUUGAUUUACCGAGUGUGUCUUUUUUGCCGAGUGUCCAGGAGUUGUUUGCCGAGUGCCUGUUUUUUGGCACUCGGCAAACCGCCUUUUUGCCGAGUGCAUUAUGUUCGCCGAGUGCCUCAUUGUGUACACUCGGCAAAGACGGUGUUUGCCGAGUGCCCGAAAAAUUGCACUCGGCACACGUUUUACACUCGGCGAAUUUACUGUUUCCGGUAGUGAAUAAAGCAAUUUGAUACUAGUAUCUUGGGAAUUCAGAGGUGAAUCAACUCUCGAUCAGGCACUAAUGAUACGACCACCAUCAACGCAGAUGACUUGGUCGGUGAUGUAGGAUGCCGCAGGGAACAACACGACGGACGCCACCUCCACCGCCUCACCGGUCCGCCGCAUCGGGAUCCGCAGCACCUCUUACUCCAAUACCCCCUCCGGUGCCUAUGUGCAGUGCUUACACGUAGAAAAAUCAUAGGUCGAACAGAUUACGAGCAAGUAAACUGAUGAUGACGACACAUUUUCACAGGUUUGUCUAAUUUUUAGGUAGCUCACGGGCAUAUUAAGUAAUCCCUCCGUCCUAAAUUACUAUUCGUUUUGGCUUUUCUAGAUGCAUAACUUUUGCUAUGUAUCUAAACAUAAUAUAUAUCUAGGUGCAUAACAAAAGCUAUGUACAUAGAAAAGUCAAAACGAAUAGUAACUUGCGACGGAGGAAGUACUUACUUUUUUUACCAUGUCAGUCAUGAUGAUGCCACUAUUGGAAAAAUGACCUCUCGUCACAUUUGGACCCGUUAGAUUUGGACCCGGUACUAAUGUUAGCAUUAGUAUCGUGUCCAAAUUAUGGAUCCCUGGAGGGCCUUUAGUAUCCGGGUGGAGCCCCCACCCGGUACUAAAAGUAACCCUUUAGUACCAGGUGGGUUCCUAUGGAUCAAUAAAAUUGCUUUUGUUGUAAUUAACCUAAGCAAAUAUGAAUCUGAAUGCAUUCCAGCAUGUUGUAACCAACUAACCAUGGAUGUUCUGCCCAUUGGAUUGACUUGGUAACAACUGAAUUAUAAAAAAAUUGUUAUUUAUAAGAAUAACAAAUAAAACACAGCAAUGCUUUCAUAACCUAGAGAUGGACCAGGCUUACUUGUUUUGCUUGACGUUCGUGCAAGAGAUCGUCAUUCACUGUCCAACUUAAGUUCUGCUGCCCCAGCUCAAGCUAAGAUGGGUCACAAACUUUGUUCAGGACACAUUGCAUUGCUAAAAUAGUAACUGCAUAUUCAAAACAAAGAAUCACCUGUGAUGUUCCAAACUUUCCAACUACAACACAACUACAUGACUGCUCCAGCUAAUUGUAAGAAAGAAACCUUCAAAAUUCAUAUAAACAGAAGAUUCAUUUGAGAACUGCAGUAGCAUGUGAGAAAGAAUCCUUGGUUAAACUUAAAACAGCAACAAAAAUAACAGGUAAGAAGAAAAACUUUGCAAAACGUUACAGUAUCACUGAGCCAUCUAAUGGACAACAUGCAAAUGAACUGCUCGUGCCCUGCCCUAGACAUUGAUUAUUUCACAAAGAGAUAUCCAAUCUAUGGAUUACAAUAUCACUGAGCAUCUUCUUGCCCCAGACGUGCCUCCGCUCGUCUAGGAAGGAAGGGCAUGAUUGCAGGCGAGACGCACGCGGGGAUCCAAUUUCUGCCAAGGUGAAGGAACGAGUGCACGGGAAUCAGGGAGGCCAAGGGUCCAGCAGGUAUGGAAGUGCGACGGUGAAAAAGAAAAUCGGCUAGGGAGACCAAUGGGGGACGACGAAAUCAAUCUCACCCACCAUUCGUCGUCUUCCACGGUUGUUUUCUGACUGAUAGGUGUGCCCUGUAUGAUGGGCAGGGGUUACAAUUGUGAGUGGGAAUUGUUUUCAAUUUCAUCGCUCUUUAUAGUAUAAAUAGAUGUGAAUAAUUUAGUAAUAAAAUGAUGGUUGUAUGUUUUUUUACUUUAGGAAUUAAAUUUCAAGGAUUUCUAUUUUUUAGUACGUCAUGUGAGUACUAGCAUUCCAAUCAAUUAGUAGUAGUAAGAUGAGACAAGACAACCCAAAUGUUAAUGUGUUUUCGCAUUUUUUAUUUUUAAUAUAGGUCGUACCUGGUCAUAAUUGAUGACAUUUGGUAUGGGAAAGAGUGGGAAAUCAUUCGAAAGGCUCUUCCCAAGAAUAGUGAGGGCUGUAAAAUAAUCAUGACAACCCUUAUCAAGACUACAGCUGAGAAAUGUCAAACUGAACAAGGUGCACAGAGUUUUGGUUUUUCUGACGCUAUAAGACUAUCAGACAUGAGACUUAACAAUAGUCGGCCGAGGGAGACAUACUUGAAGCCAGUGCAGCGAAUGGGCUGUUGUCCAUUAAGAUUGCACAUAUGAGCUUUGAGAUGCCGCUAGCAGGAAUUUGUUUGUCGUCAGCAUGGGCAGAGAGCCACGUGCAAGGUGACACUGGGGAAUGGGAUACUUUGGUAAGCCACCUGCUGGGUGGGUUUCUUAGUAUUCCAUCCAUGAAACCACUGGUCCAGAGUUUAUGCCUCUAUUCUGACGAUCUUCCCCUUCAUCUGAGGACUUGCUUGCUAUACUGUGGCGUAUUCCCUCCUGAUUAUCCUAUUCGAAUGGAGUGCUUGGUCAGAAUAUGGACUGCUGAAGGAUUGUUUCGCAAGAGGAAGUAGCAGAAGCUUACAUUGACCUGCUUGUCUCCAGGAAUCUGUUGCAGCCGGUAUAUGAAGAGAGCACAUACAGAGUCCACCUUCUAAUGCUCGGCUUCCUUGUAUGCAAAGCAAAGGAAGAUAAUUUUGUUGCCUGUAGGCAGUACAAUGGCCCCAGUGGCUCAUGGCAUGCCAAACAGAUCCGUCGUCUUUCUUCUCUACUGCAUGGAUCGCUGCCCAGAUGAGGAUUUAUCUCAUAAUCGCUCCCUUGUUGUUUGUCACCAGCCACAACUGGAUGGUGUGACCUUGGACAAGUUUGCAAAUCUGCGAGUGCUACAAAUCAAUAGUAAUGGUCUACGUGAUUAUAGUCAUCUCGUGGAUAUAUGUGGGCUGAUGAUCUUGCUGAGGUAUCUGGGUCUCAAGGGAUCACAAAGCUCCCACGGGAGAUCGGGAGACUGCAGUAUCUGGAGAUCCUGCACAUCAGAUGGACAUAUAUUGGUGAACUACCCAUGGAAAUCUGUAAACCGCAACAUUUGAGGAUUCUGGAUGCAUGUAAAGCAAAUGUCAGGAAACUACCUAGCGAAAUCUGGAAACUGCAACGUUUGGAGAUUCUGGAUGCAAGUCGCACACGUGUCACGGAGUUGCCUACCGAGGUCGACAAACUGCAGCAUUUGAGGACUCUGAAAAAUAAGUGGCACAAAGGUCACAGAGCUACCAACGAAAAUCACCAAACUUGAGCUUUUGAAGAGUCUGGAUGUAAGCUGGACAGGUGUGAGAGAAUUACACAAGGAAGUCUGGAAACUGCAGCAUUUGCGGUCUCUGAACAUAAGUAGCACAAAGGUCACAGAGCUACCAACGGAAAUCACCAAACUGGAGCUUUUGAAGGAUCUGGAUGUAAGCUGGACAGGGGUUAGAGAAUUACCCAAGGAAAUCAGGAAACUGCAGCAUUUCAGCACCCUGGACGUAAGAGGCACCAAGGUCAGGGAGCUACACUGGGAAAUUCCAAACUCGUUAAGUGUGCUUGUUGGUGACAAGAUAUCUUCUGAAGUGGUGAUGUUGCCUCAGGCUGUCAGCGCAGAUUGGGUUAUCUCCUCUUCUGGAGCAGAGCGCAGGGAUGACCUAUCCAUCUUUGUUCUCAUGAGUAAUUCCGGCUGGAGUAAUGAACCUCUACAACUUUCGCUACUUAGAGUUGACGGGAGACACAAGAAAGUACCGCAGUGGGUCAAGCAAGACUUGUGCAAAGUCUGCACCUUAGAUAUCAGGCUCUGCAAACUGGUGCACGAAGACCUCCAGUUUCUGAAGACGCAGAUGCAUGCCCAACCGGCAGGCUCUCCAACUAAGGUUCGAGGUCCUCCCACGGGAGCCGGUUGCCAUCACUGGUGAAGGGUUCUUGAAGCUAGAGACGUUCUACGUCGAUUGUCGUCUGCCACGGGUGAUCACCUUCAAGCGUGAAGCCAUGCCAAAGCUGAAGCAUCUUGAGUUCAAGUUCUACACCGGCACAGCAAGUCAAGACCACUACAUGGGCAUCGAGCAUCUCGACAGUCUUGAGAAGGUCGUGUUCCGAUGCUCCGAAUACUAUACAAGUGACGGUCCGGGCAUCCGCGAGACAAUUGAUGUCCUGAGAAAAGAAGCCGUGGAGCACCCCAACAAGAUCACCCUUUGGGUCAAUGAGCAUUCCGUGUGAUCCAGUUUAGCUAGUGAUUCCAACAUUUCCUUUGGGUCAAUGUAGCCAUGACUCAUGCCAGUGAUCCAGUUCUGUUAAUAAUUUGCUCCCGUACGUAUUCUGGAGCAAUUGCAAGAUUGUCUUGAUGAUGCGAAUGGGCUCAUCCAUGUGCCUUAAUGUGGUUGUAUGCAGACUUUUAUGUCAUCUUCUUCUAGGAUAUGUAAGCUUUGGUCAACAUCGUCAAACCCCUGUUGGAGCCGCGGCUAAACUGCCCACAUGACAGCACACUUUGCCUUGAUGACAACAGCUUCCAACAUGGUGGAUCAGAUUCAAAACAGCUUCGAGAAUUGGGUGGAGCUCCUCGUCUAGACUGUCUCGGCCUGUUUGGCUCAUGAAUUGUUAAAUGACUGGCCGGGGGGCUUUCUGAGCUCACCAAGCUUCUGUGGGUGUGGUAAUAUAAUUUCACUACAAAAAGAGGGGGAAAAAAGAGUAAGGGAACCAGUACUGCUAGAGCAGUGGGCUUUUUGAGCUCAGUUGGUCAAAAUUUGGGCUGCACCUAGACAACUGUCAUUCUUGGCCCAUGAAGAAGGGUCCACACACACCACAGGUGGACCAAAGAUAAAUUGGGCCGAUACACCAGCCACUGUCACACCAGCCACCACUGUCAUUCAUUUUGUAUUCGGUCAAAUAUAUUUCUAACGUCACGCCAGCCACCGAUUUUGUAAACUUAAUAAAUCCCUGUAAAGUCGCCUUUGUACAAUAUUUUAGUGCAUUAUGCGUUUAGUUUGAAACACAAUAUUUUCUUCUUAGAUAAAUAAACCAGCGCAAACUAGUUCUCAAUUAGAGAACACUGCGUAUGCCCGAAGAAAAAUGUUUUCAGUACUAAGAACUUAGAUUAUGUAUUUUUUAAGCUCUAGAAUUCAGACCUUAUUUUUUUGUGGUCUAUUGACUGUUGAAUGUUCUUGCAUGGAGUCAUAUGUUCCUUAAUAGUCAUUGGUAAAACAUGUCAUGAAUGUUGCACAUUCAAGAUGUAGAUGCUGGGACAGUGUUUUAUUCCAUCAUCAAAAAAAAAUCUUGGAGCUCUAGAAAUGGACACAAUCUAAUUUAUGUAUCUGUAGUGCAUAUACAGUUGUAAAUGAUGAAACCUGUUUAUUGUAUACUCCGUAACAUACGGGGAACAUGAAUAUAUUUGAGUCGCUCAGCGCGGCUCGGCGAGCAAGCGCGCGUGUGGCACCCUUUCUCUCUUCCUCAACUUCUCAAUUAGUGCACACAUAGUCCACCUAUUUAACUCCUUAACUACCCACGUGGGAUUAACUACUUUAACCACCUAGCAUUAAAGGUGAGCCUUGAGAUUAAAUGGGCCUAGCCCAAAUAUUCCAAUACUGUGUUGAUCUCAGCACUAACCUAAUAACUCUGAAAAUGUUGUGCUGAGCCUAGACGAGCUGACCCAAUUAAAGCUAGCAUGGUUGAGGCAAACUCAAUUGAGACAGUUUUUCUCCGAAACUCCCAAGAAGAAAUGUUUCACAGAGAAAAAUUAAUGUUCCAUGGACAAGGAAAAAACUGAGUACUCAAUCACAUUUAUUUAUUUCAUGGAAGUAGUUAUUUUGAGCUCUAAAGAUCUUGUGUCUAUGCUCUUGGACGUAGUAUGUCUUGACAAUACACUUAUCCGCAGUGCAGAUACAGUUGUAAUAACAAACGAUGGAAGCUCCUUAUUCGAUAUGCUUCUUGUGGCAUUUGCAUGGGUCAUGCAGUAGUAACCCUACAAUACUUUAUUGGGCCUCUAGCAAUGCAUCAUGCAUUGCUAAAGGAGUAUUCGUCGUGUAUUUAGGAGAUUUUUGGGCUGUAAAGUAAUUCAAGGAUUACUAUGGGCAGUUAGGAUUCCUCCCAGGUCCUCCAUAAAAGAUGUAUGUGCCCCAGUCGUUGCUACUGGUGCCACUCUGCACGUCAUAGCAGCUGGGCGACGUACUACUUAUUAUGAAGCCCAAACCACUUGCUUGUAUGAGAUAGUUGGAUGAAUCUACCACUUGGAUGUUCCUGAUGUAGCUGGCCUUGCCAAACCCUUCCCCAGCGAAGUGUCCACUGCCCAUGUCUGUCGAAGUUUGACCGGCGCUAGACGAGCAUACCUCGCCACCCCACUGAACAUUGGAGGCACUGUUUUCCAAGUGGGUGAAGAUGGAUGAUGGCCAAUAGCCCACAUUAGUGCCUCCUACUUGCAACCACCAGUUGCCCGUGUUUGGGUCCUGCAAGCAAAAUUUACAGGACAAUUCAUCAGGAGACCUGAUUAUGAUUGUGAUAUAGCAAUUGGGCCAGAUUUGCAACACUAGGUCCUUGUAGAAUACUAAGAUAAAGAUUCCUUUGAAGCUUUGCUGAAAAGGCUAACUUGACAGUGUUGCAUUUAUGGAGAAAUCUCUAGCACAAUAGGGACAACUAGUAUUAAAAUGGUGAGCAUUCGUGAACUUUAUUUUAUGUUCGGAAUGUGAACAUUCUUUGUGUUUUACCUUCCAAACUAGAAUACAUAUUUCGUAUUGUGAGCCACCAUAGACGGACUGAGGGGAGAUGGUACCACCGACAGCAAUCUGAUUGUUUGUCUGGACGAAUCCUGAGCACCCUAGAUUGUAGCAUCCUGUUGUUCGAUACGCAUCACGCUACAAUAUAUUGCAUAGUAAUAGAAAUUAGUACCUUUAUGUCCCAACUUAAUAUAAAAUUAAAGGUCAAUAUUACUAAUGAAGAUAAAUGAAUGCGAGAUUUAUCUUACAGUCCAGUAGAUGAAGAGUCUAGGAUUGUUAUCCCCAUAGAAAUUUUGGUAAACCUGAAAUAUUAAAGAGAGCACAAAUCCAUCAGCCACAAUGUUAGAGAAUGCACAACUUAGUGCAACAACCAGUGAACUCAUAUGGAAGUGUGUUUAGUUUUUCCCUUAGAAGUCUCACCUGCCAUCCUACUUCAAUGGUAUUGAGAUCGUUGUUGGCAUAGGACCCUGCAGCGGUCCAGAGUUGGGUCAAGCUGAAGUCUUCCGUCUCGGUCAUUGGUUUCCACAGAUUUAUAUUGAUUUGAGUUCCAUAGUAUUGGCCAUCUGCUAAAGAUGCUACAGCAUACUGCUCGAUGGGAGAAAAAAAAAGUUAAAGCAGUAAUAUCAAAAAAAAACAUCCAAGUGGAAGAUUAGUUAGUAAUAAAAUGAAGGUGAUUUUUGAAUGAUGUUUUGUACCUCAUGGCCACUCGUCACACUAGCUUCAGGGUGGAUAUUUGGUAUGCUGUCGGGCCUCUUCUUUCCAUACAAAUUGACCGAGCUGGCCCUCAGGACAUCCUCCUCCUUUGUCCUUCGGAUUGGUACAGUGUUCUCAGGGCACUUGCCAUUCUGGUGCCAUGUUUGGGUGAUUGGAUGAGGUGCAAUGUUGGAGUCACCAUACUGACCUCUAGGAUGGUAAGAAGGCUGCAUCUGAAAGGUGAUGGUGUGGAGCAUCAUUAUACAUGUGAUUGUGCGGUGGGAUGUGUACGUCCACGCAACAGUGAAAUGAAAAGGGCAAUAUUGCUGCACAAACCUGUAUGGUAUGGUUCUUCAGGAGAGGAUGAUCGAAUGCAGGCUGUUUGGAUAUGGGCACACAGUCUAUGAUAUCUCCAUCUGGGCUCUGUUAAUUUCUCAGAAUCAGUAGUUGAAAAAAUGCGAUUAUGUUUCGCAACUGUGUGCAAUUUCAAUUGGCCAUGCCCUUUUGUUAUUAUAAUAAGUCCAUAAAGCCGAGCAUAUGUGCAUAGCUCUGGAUUUGAGAAGAGACAUACUCCCUCUAGUAUUUUUAGACGUCACAUUAGGUUUGUCCUAAGUCAAACUUCUCUAACUUUGAUCAAGCUUAUCUAUACUACCAAAUAUAUACACUAUAAAAUAUAUUCCAUGGCGAGUUCAAUGAAACAAAUUUGAUAUCGUAGAUGUUGUCCGUGUUCGUCUUGAUCUCAUUUGGUCUAUAUAUUUCACAAACUUAUCUUUCUGACCAAAUCAUAUUCGUAUUUUUGAUAACAAAAGCCGCAGCCCAUCCAUGUAAACUUGGGCGUAAAUGAUGGCAAUCUGCAAGCGGUGCUUUGGCCUCUACCAACAAGGCUCCACCUUUAGCUUCUGUCUUAGGCAUAAAUUUGAUGUGACAAUCGAUUAAAUGUAUUACUUGCAUGCACUCUCUCUUAGAAAUACUGUCAAUGGAAGCAAGGAUCAUCAAUACAGAAAAACACAUCCUUGUUAGCUAGCUCGUAUUAGGAGCCGGCAAAGGUAAGGCCCUAGGUAUUAUCCAUUGGUACCGAUAUCUCGGAGACUUUACAUGUUGCCUCUUAUUAAUUACGAGCCGUCACACAUUGUUCUUAUCCACUAACAAGCAUGAAUGCUUUUCCUGUGCAAGUAAUUUGAAUUUCAGUUUCUUUCAAGCAUUUAGAACUUACCCGGACGGAGACAAACUUUAUAUGAAAAUUGUAGGUUUGAAAUUUUUUGUUUGAAGUCGUGAGAUGCAUAAAUAAUUGACAAAUGUUUCAGACAACAAGAGUCCUAAGGAAAAAAAAAAUCUACCUGAUGCAUCAACAACGAAGCAUAACUGAGAUCAUAAGAAGGGAUUUAUCUAUACGAGGGGUGGGGUAAUCAUCAUGUGGGUAAGUCUGGGGUCUUUUUCUUUUCUCUCUCUAUUGUUUCAUCAAAUUUUGGUCCGGCUAUCCGCCACUGAACAGCACCGAUGACUUGCAUAUCUGCUGGCUGUGCAGCCGGCCGGCAUAGACACUCGCUGUAUCCAUGUCAGUUUUCAUACUUCUCAUUUGCGUAACCGACACGUACGAGAGUUUCUGCAGUAGUGGUUUCUGCGUGUAUGUACAUUCUUCGCAUUACGAAUUUAAGAUGCCAAUACCUGAAUGCUCGUGACAGGAGCCUUGUUGACCCGCCUGAGGAAGCUUCGCACCUGCCUCAGGUGCUCUUCCGACGAUCCUCCGGCAGCCCCCAACGCCGCUGCCAUUGUUGGCCCCUCCAAGAGGAGAAACGCGAGAGCCACGGCGAGCGCGACCAAGCACGCUCGCGUCGCUGCCAUGAGCGUGUAUUUGCAACACGUUAUAAGUACAAAGAUCAGAGAGCUAGCUGCUAGUUGUUUCUCCUCUGAUAUGAUCUUGCAGCUGUGGAGGCGGAAGUGUCCUGCAGGCUCGGCUUUUAAAGGGCUGGAGACCAGUGGAGACGGCUUUUAAAGGGCUGGAGACCAGUGGAGACGUCUCGGUCGGCCUGGCUGCUGCCAACGUGCUUGGAGAGGUACCAGCACCGCACUUGUGGAUUCGUCGGAUAGGAGACGUCGUAGUAGUAGGAGACGUGCAGCCGUUGCACUCCUGCUUCUAUUGUCCCGGCAAGUUGCAACAUAUUGGGUUAGUGCCUGCCCAACAAUGUUUAUGCGCAAAUUUUUGUUUUCUUUUCCAAAAUGAAUAUAAAGAUUUUUUUUGUAUUUCCAAUCAAAAUGUUUUAAAAUGCAGUUAAACCAAAAGUUUAAAAGGCUUAUCGCCGGAUGUAGAUAUGUGUACGUGUACGUACACAUUUCCAAAAUACGUGUGUAUAGUAUUGACAGCAUCACUGGUGAUGAUGGGAGUUCCAAAGGGACAGAUAAUGAGCUAGCUUCUGAUGAUAAACUGCCACACCUCGGACAGACAGGGCCAUUGCCAUAUCCGAUAUUAGCAUCAAAGCGUGAGACUCCGGCUGGUAUGCCUAAAACAUUACUAUGAUUCUACAUGAACUACUUCUAUUUAUUUCCCAAAAAGAAUCUAAACAAUUCUAGAUUGUUAGAGAUAUAAAAUAAUUAACCAAAGUUUAAAAGCUUCAAGACACAUGGUAUGUACGUAUUUCCAAAAUAUCUAGCAUUGACGCGGGAGAUACGUAUUUCCAACAGUAUUCUUGCGAGGUCCAAGUCCUCGAGGGAAGCGCAGAGAUUUUCCAUGUUCGAAAACGGCAUGAAGUUGCUGGUAUACGUGUUAUAUGAAUGUAAAAUUACAGGUCGGCAUGAAGUAUACUGCAUGAGUUCGUUGUGGUGCAGUCGUCAAGGAAAUGCGAAAUAGAGAAGGAAACCAAAAGAGAUCAUGUUGAGCCUAAAUUGAGCUGAACCUACUGCAUGUAUAAUGUAAAAGGCAAAAGAAACUAGAGAGAAGAGUACAAGGCUCAAUUGGGCCUAAUUCUCUCAUAGGCCCUAUGCGCCCCAUGAGAAACAAUUAGUUUUUUUAUUUAAGGGAAAAAAUAGUUUUUUUAAGCGAAAAAAAGUUAAAAGGUAGCUGACAUUUUUCAUUAGUUUAUAGAAAAAAAAGUGUAUUUUUCAUUCCUAAAGUAUAGUGUAACUUUUACCCUUACAUUUCAAUUGGUGUGAAAUAACCCCUUAACCUAUUAAACAAGUGAACUAAUCAUCUCUGACUUAACAAUGGUUUAGUGAUAUCUAAUUGUGGUUCAGACCACAUUGCUUAGCAUCAUUACACUACCGGACGAUUGACAUUUAGUACAGGUGGGGAAACCGCUUUAGUACCUGUUUCCUAACCGGUACCGCUACGUCGGUACUACAAGUGGGAUGUUUAGUAAUGGGUGAUCCACCCGGUACUAAAAUGCUAUAUUUAUUUGGUACCGGUUAGUAACUCCAACCGGUACUAAAUUUGCUGCCAUGUUGUGUGUUGGCGAGGGCAGAUUAGUACCGGUGGGCUUACCAACAGGUACUAAACUGCAAUUUUUUCUUUUCUAUUUGUUUGUUUUCCUUUUGUUUUCUUUUAUAUUUGUAGUCGUAUUCCUUUACGUAUACUAGUGCUAUACAUUAAUAUAUAUGGUUCUAGCAUAUUAAAUAUUAUAUAUCGUAUAUACGUAUUCGAUGGUUGGUGGCUGGGUGCCAACUCUUUGGUACACCAUCCAUCUCGUAGGACGACCUAAAAGAAAAAUCUUGUUACCCAUACCAUUUUCUUCCAUGAUUGAGGAGGAGAUCGAUGAUGACCAUAAGCUCACCGGAUGUGUGAUGCAAGACAGUUUUCAAUGAUUGCUAGAAUUAUGUAGAGUAUUUCUCUUGAUUAUUGGACUAACUAGUGAAUCAUCAUAAGUUGUACCUAAUUGUUAUUAAAUUGUGAAGUAAUGGUUUCAAAUUGUUGAUAGGUUUCAUAGAUGAAGACCAGCAGAUACUGAUGCCAGAUUGCAAAAGUGAAUUGAAUUAGGUUUGAAAAAUUAUUUAACCUUGACUAGGAAUUGUUCCAGUCUUUAUAAACUGUUAAAUUCGGUUUCAAAAUUAUUAUCUUUUUAGAUGCACGUAGUCAUUUCAUCUUCAUAAAGAUGUGUGCUCCAGGCUUUCAACCUUAUUAUAGGUGUAGUGAUGCACCCACAACUCCACUAUGACAGAGCAAAGCAAAUGUGCUUUCACUCCUACUCUCAAGAAUUGUUGAUGGGAUGUUCAGUUCAUUCAUUAGAAAGGGGCUCCCAUUUCUCCUUUUUCUUUCUAAAUGACCAGGCAAAAGAUCUUUCAAGCUCUUUUAGUACUUAAUACAAGAUAGAUUAGGUGUUCUCACGGUGUGAUCAGCUGUACUGCUCGUACAAUUCGAAGAAAUCAUUGUGCAACUUGCACAAAGCAACUUCUAGUGGGGAUCCAUGGUAACUUAUUGCUGACCUCUUGUCACGGAUAUAAUACUUUAAUUACCACCGAGGGUUUUUAGAUUUCUUUCUUGGAACAACGUCAUAUAGUAAGUAAAUAUAUUAUCAUUAAUUAUCUACACAAAGUAUAGAUUGCCGCGUGCAUAAAGGGUACGCGUGGUAUUUCCUUUGGAAAGCUUCGCUUGACAUGCCUAGUUCACAUGAUACUGUUGCUAGCCUAGUUAAUAUAUAGUCUUUGCAACGCAUAAAAUGCACAUGCGCAUUAUGACGUGCAUAAAAUGGUUACGAAUCUCUAGCAUGCAACAUUCAACAUUAAAUGCACGUGCGCCAUUAUGCACUUAUACGAGAACUCACAAAAUACACGAUCACUAGUAGAGAAUUGGCUUUUAGUCCCGGUUGGUAGGGUGCAAAUCUCCCGAAAGUCACAAGUCACGUGAUUUUUCACGCGAAAUAUGCGCGUGCACGCUGCGUGGGAUUCGAACCAACAACCUCUUGCCUCACGCGUAGCUUCCUUGCCAUCCCACCUACACACCACAUCUGACUAUAUAGGGGAUGCUAUUCUUUUGUAUUAACUCGUGGGGGAUCCUUUUAUCCCGGUUGGAAACACCAACCGGGAUAAAAGACCCCCUUUUAUCCCGGUUGGUAUUACAAACCGGAAUAAAAGGGUUCGAGGGAUUUAGUCCCUUUCCAGUCACCUCGUUGGGGACCCUUUUAUCCCGGUUUGAAAUACCAACCGGGAUAAAAGGCCUCUCAGGGUCUUUUUUUCCCACUAGCCUUUGCAACCGGGAUAAAAGGUCCCGGUUGAUGAGCCCCCACCAGUGACCGAGCUUUAGUUCUGGUUGGUGAACCUUUUAUCCCGGGCCAACUUUAAACCGGGACAAAAGGGGCGCAUCGAAAGCCAAUUCUCUACUAGUGAAUAUGCUUUUGUCUAGGGCCGUAGAAUAAUUGAGAACACAUGCAUGCAUCAUACUUAGCUAAUAUAUAUAAUCAUCCAUUAUCUUAGGUGGCCUGCUGACCUAGAACAACCCAAGGUGCGCUUGCCCUGAUAUGGUCCCUUCCGGGUAAGCGUUCGUUAGUUCUUUGCUCAGCUCACCGGCGAAACCGGUCUGACCGGUCAGCCAUACCGGUCUGACCAGCCUAUGCAGAGGAGCUACAAGAAGCCCCUCCACGCUGCACGUUGGAGUGCAAGACUAAUUGGCACGGCACGUUUUUGCGCCAACAGAAGUUCUGUAAUAUCAGUAUUCCUGAGGCUCAAAUACCUCAGCAACAACAUCUUGCAGAUACUCUUGAGAUGAUGCUUCUUCAAACCUCUGCAGUUUUCUAGGUCCAGCGCUUUCAGCAGAUGCCGUUGUGACGAUGUAGCCAAGGUUGGAAGAAAAGGCACAAUGUCAUUGCUGUUUACAUCAAAAUGAGAAGUCUGCAGUCCUAUUCUGUUGUGAAUGGAAAGAUGGUGAGCCAGUUGUGGUGGCAGGUUUGUGUGCAAAAAGUUUACUUCUCUAGCAGUCUAGCAAUCCGUGCGAUGAACUGAUGAUCUUGGUCAUGCACCUUGCAGCUCUUGAUGUUGCCCGCUGCACUGACUUCCUCCUGAGAAAGGAACCCUCGCAUGACCAGCACAUCCAACAAGUAGUGCUGGGCUUCAUCCGUCGCGGCAGCCCAACGUUUGGUUCUUCUGCCUGCUGCAGUCUCUGCGUCAUCUCUUGUGAUUAUAAAGCCUUCAGCAACCCAUCUUCUGGCUAAGCUUGCAGUCCUGAUGAUGUGGCCAUUGGGGAAUAUAUUCAGAUACAACAAGCAGUUGUUGUACUUGGUAGGUAAUUCAUUGUAGCAGAAUCCUAACAUCUGCUUCGCAAACCUUUUGUUCGGUCGCCUACACUCUGAAAUGGCAUUGCAACAGUUAAGAAAAUGGGCCGACCAGUCCGCGGCCCAACAAAAAGAACGAAAACAGCAGGGCCCAUACGAAACAGCUGAACCACACGAGGUGGUAGGAGGAGCUAGCGAUCUGCGACGUCGACCCAGAUGGGGUCACGGGUGCCGACGCGUCGAUGUACGGCUGGCACCGGGGUACUCAACAGUCGACAAUUGUCACACGACGGGCAGCCGUUACAAUCAGGUAUGUAGCAGUGCCUUGGCUUUGGUAAAAGGGGUAGCAGUUCUGUCAUGCUAGCACUCAGCGUGUGGAUUAUGCUUGGAAACAUGCAGUCCAAUAUGCCUCUUAAUUUCGUCUCUCACUUGAUCUGGGUCGCAGUCACCUUUGAGCUCCAACUCCCUCGACUCAGAGAGGUGACCAGCUCCAGCAAGGUUAGGAAAAGGCAAAACAAUCCUAUCAAGCUAAUGAUGUUGGUGGCAUCAACAUUAUUAUCAAGCUAAUAAUGUUCCAUGCAAUCAGCUCAGCUAUCCACUUUUCUUUCACUAAUCAUUCAGUAGUAUACAGAGCACACACUGGGCAACAGCGAAAAAUCAAAUAAGUAUACUACUACAAAUCCGGGCAUCACUGAACACUCUACUAAUAAGUAGUACAUUACACAGUAGCGUUCUGAUAAAUACACACAUAUCAAAUUCCGCACCUUACCAUAUAUAGCGAUAGCAUUCAGGCACAAACAGACGCACAAAUGAAAACGAGUUCCAGAUUCAGAUAGUACAGAGUUACACCCAACAGCAUAAAUGCACAAGGAAGACGUCGUGGUUGCACCCGCAGACGAUCACUGCCUUGGAAUCGCCUGCGCGGCUGAGGAACUCGAUGGCGCGGCUGCUGGAACAACCUCCGUGCGUGGACCACCAAUCCUAACAACAACCUCCUCCAUGGAGAGCCGCCGUGCCGGCUCACGAAGACAGCAUAUCAGCCCGACAAGCACGCACCUUAAUGCCAGAACCCGGUUUGAAUCGUCAGCUACCAAUUGUUGAUCAAAUAGAUCCCUUUUCUCAAGCCUCUUAGCCUGCAAGCGACCGAGCCAGCGAAAAAUAAAGAAACGAUUAUAUAUAAGGUCAGUUGUGUAAAAAUGUGAGCCUCAGGAACCACAGUGUUGGUGUUGCCAGCUUACCCACUGUUCGCGGAUUUCUUUGGAAGGAGGGCCGCGGCAUUUUUUCCACACCACGCUCAUGGUCUCAAGGAGGAUGAUGCCAAAGGAGUACACAUCGCACUUGGUUGGCUCCAUAAUUUUGGGGGCCCAAGCAAGUGACAAUGUCUCACACAUACCUCCAUCAAGCGAUAGUUCCGGAGCAACAUAUGUCCUGAGUUAAAAAAAUAAAAUUGAAACAAUGAGAAUUAGUAACCCCGUCGGGCGUGGUACAGGAAUGAAGAGAGGAGGAAAACUAGCAUUUGUUUCCAAGGUGCAUGAUCCCUCUAGUAAGCUUCAACUUUGUUUGAAAGGUCCUCCAUAAUAUCAUAUACAGAUGUAAGUAAUCUAGAUGCAUAUUUAGGGGUUACUUUAGGUUAUUUUUAACUGUAGCAAAUGUGAGUAAUUUGUUAGAUGCAAAUUUUGGGAGUUCCUUUAUAUUAUUUCCUAUAAUGAUAUUUUCCGGUAAUAUAGACGUAGAUUAACAGGUUACUCUAUAUUAUUUUUCAUAAUGGUAGAGGUGUAAUUUGGAUAUAGGUUUAGAGGGUUACUUUAGAUAAUCUUACUAGAGGCUCCUUUUGAAGUCUUCACGUGAAACUACGUAGGAUCCUAGGUGGACACUUUAGAAAAAGAGAGAAAUCCUAUAAAUUUUAUUAAAAAAAGCAAAACAUCUAGCCAUCGAUUUGGUAUAUUGUAGUCAUCAGUGAUAAUAAUAGCCAUCGGAUCUCUGUUUCUAAAAAUUUACUCUCCUAUACCAUUAUAAAGGAUUAGCCUAAAAUAAUCCCCUAUAUCUAUAUAUCUAAAUUACCCACCUUUGCCACUAGCAAAAAAAUUACAGUGUUUAUACCCUACAAUGAUUCGACGUUGACUGGCAUAGGAUAGGCAGCUGCGGUUGAGAUUACAAAAUAGAGUGUGCAAUAGUGGCAACCAGAAGGUAUAUGCGCUGGCCAGUUGAGUUCUCUUGAUUUUAGGAGCAUCUUGAGUUGAUGACAUGUAGGAUUAGCGGUACGUACAUUCAGCAGCCGCUGCAAAUUGAAGAUCCUACUGCAUCUCUGUAUGUAUGGACUCUCUACUCCUUCCAGCUCCUUUCCAUUCACGUUUUUUAAUUAACGUAAAUUGCAUGGGAGCCGGCGAUACUGUACAAAUAUUUCAGCUUCAGCGUGAUUGAGGUGGUUUAAGAGGCUCAUUGCAUGUAUUCAUCUACAAGGCAAACUCCCUCCAUCUCAAAAACAUCAAUUUUUAAUAACUACUUCAAUAUUAGUGCUAGAGGAAAUUUAUCCUGUCACCCCUGAUUAGUGAUGUGAUUUUGUUUUGUUUGCUCAGAUAAUUAAGAGGAUAUAUUUUGUUCACCAUCCAUGCCCACACGGAUUAUCAAGAUUGGUAGAUGAUGAGAAGGACGUACGUAGGAGAGGAAUAGAAUUAAUGUAGAGGGAUCUACAAGUCAAUAAGUCAGAAUGACAAGUUUUCUAAGACAAAAUUUAAAUCCUAGACGUGUUUUUGGGACGGAGGAAGUAGGAGUGUCUGUGAAGUCGGACGCUGUAAUUAAGGUCGUAGUUUAGCGUAAUGUAAUUUAUUACUAUCAGGCCUAUCUAUUUUACUGCUCCAGAGUUAAUAAUGCUCCUAUGUACAUGAUCAAAUAUAGAUACUUGAAUAACUAUGUGAUGCAUAGCUCGGUAUAGGCUAGGUUAAAUUAAUUACUUAAGCACUAAUAGUAUUUUUUUCUUCUGAGAACACAUGCGGAUGUGAAAUCAAAAUGGGAUAAAAGGGAGGUAACAAAGAUAGAUGAUUGCCUGAUUGGCAAGUAGAAUAGGGAUCUGCCAAAGAUAAAUGUAUAGAUCGCUGAAAACAUCAUUAUGUUAAUGAGUUAAGAGAAAACGGAGAAAUGAGUAUCUAGGAAGAGGGUAAUAGAAAUAUAGGAGUUGAUGGAGCAUUUUGUAAUUAGAAAUGAACUUUAACUUAUGAACUGCCAAGUGGGAUAUGUACUAACUGCAUGCGAAAGGAUCUAUAUGCUAUAUAAAUACACAUAGAAAGCUUAAGGCUUAUGUCACAUAUUUAGGACAUGUCUAAUCCCAUACACCAUAUGUUUAUUUCAACAUAUGUACCCAAAUAGUAUACAAGGUAUGCUUCCAAUAUUUCAUAUACCUUUUUUUAUACAUAAGCAGAGUGCAGUUUUUUAUUUGAGGAAUUGGAACUGCAGUUCAUGUGAAAGGAAUUUGUUUUCACAUAAAAGUGCUUCUACAUAUAGAGAUCACAUGGAAUCAUUUGGGUGGUUCACUUACAUUAAACAAAUGGUAGAAUCAUAGUUGUAUAAAUGAACAUACGUGAAGUGGAUUCCUUUAAUACAAUGUCUUGAAUACAAGACAAAUAAUUUAAAAAUUCCUAGUAUCUCCCUUCACAAAUCUAAGCAAUUAUGUGAUUUUAAGGAAAGUUUAGGCCAGCUAGAAAAAGAUGUAUAUAACCCUCAUUAAAGUCCGGUGGACAUGUCUUGAUCAGCGCAAGCCACUUGAUUAAAUGACAGGUUUUAUAGGCAAUUUGUAAGAUUUUUUUAGGGAAUUAAUGUGCCUUAUAUGUAUUGAUAAAUUUGAAGGCUCCAAUCUAUUGUAUUUGCAGAUGGAGGGAAUAAUCAAUUAAUCAUUGAUUUUAAAAUUAUAACCCGUGCAGGUGCACGGGUUGAUGGACUAGUUUUCAUAAUGGGCACAGGCAAUCUUUUUUAGAAAAACAUAAUAGAUGGAAUGGCAGAAUGUUUCUGAUUUUUAUGAGAAUUUAUUGGAUUUUUUCUAUUUUCUAAUGUGUCUUGUAAGAAUUAGUGUAGACCCUCCAAUAGUAAUAGUAAAAUAGCAUCUUACCCUUUGGCUGUGUCGAAACAAAAGGGAGGUUCCUUCAGUAAUAUUAAUUCAGCUUUAUUAAAUUUGUUGAUCUUAGGAGUCCAGCCCUUGCCCAACAGGAUGUCUUUUGGCUGCAGAUCCAUAUGGACAACACGUUUCAUAUGCAGGUAACAUAUGCCCUUGGCUAUUCCUUGAAUUAUCCCGAAAAGAUUGGGCCAAUCAACAUGUUCAUCCCCUACACAAUACAAAUCGUACAAGUGGAACAAAACUCCUAGUUAGAAGCUGGAUAAGAGAAAUCUGGUGGACAAUGGAAUUGUGAUCAAGAUGGAUUUUAGUGGAAAUGUACCUUUGAUAACCUUGUCCAAGCUUUGGUUGGAAAUGUAUCCGCUGACAAAAGCUAGAUGUUGUCUUAUUUGAAAAUCAAAAUCACUAUCUGUCUGCACCAGAAUCUCUCUGUUUUGGUAGCAAUGUCCCAAAUGUUCAACUAUGUUCCCGUGCUGGAGCUUUGAAAUGAUAUUGAGUUCUUUAAUAAAGCGUUUCUUGUUGCUAUCAUUGAACUCCUUAAAUUUCUUGAUGGCAACUGCUUUGUUGUUGUGUAAUACAUCCUGAUAUGUAAGUAUUGAAAACAAAUUAGACUAAAUAGUAAGUAUAAUGAAGAGCAAGUUCAAUUAUGCAAUCAUUUCUCAAAAAAUAGAAACAAAUCAAAGAUUUUAUCAUGUGGUAUUGGAUCAAGCUAAAUAAAAAUACGUGAAGGGCAAUCCAACAUGGUCUUUCAUGCUGUCCGUCUUUUCCUACAAAUUUGAGUUGAUAUGUAUGAAUGUAUGUCAAGGUUAAGUCAAUGUGUCUAUAUUCGUAUUACAAAAUGGCGCACCAAUCUCUAAUUCAUGCAUGCCUCUGAAUAGGGUUGUUCGAAGUAAACAUUUCCUAAAAAUGAUUGUGAUGUUCAACCAAGAUUUAAGGAUGCAAUGACUUUGGUUAUACAGUUUGGAAAGCUAGAUUAUUUUGUGGCAAUGACCUGCAGGGAUGAAAUAAUAAGGACUGAUUUGUUGCAUGGACAGACACCGCAAGACCAUCCUAAUUAUACUAUUGUGGUAUUGAGAAAUUUUAGAAUGAUUGGAAAAAUGAGAGCCAUCCAUCCUGUAAAAGGGCUCGUAUUAAGAAAGGAAAAUUAAGUACAUGUUAUCGAAGAGUGCAAAAAUAAUAUAAUAUAGAGCUCUUUUAGAGUGGUUUAAAAGUACCCAUCGGCACUUGUUUGUACUUCAAUAAAUAUAAUAGGUAGCUCUCGUACCGAUUCGCUGAAGUGAGUGAGGAACUAACUCAUGGUGUGGGCAUGUGGGUAUGAAUCCAUGCAGAAGUAUUGAAACUUGGUUGCACACUAUUUACAUACAUGCAAGUGCUAUUAGUGGUAAAAAAAAUUUGAAGGCAAGGCGGGCAUGUUGAUUUUUGUAUGAUUAAUCUUGAAAAGUAUAUGCCUUUCUAAAACCUAAUUAUUAGUGCAAGGAUAGUGUUCAAUUGUUGUAUAUUGAGCAAAUUGUUAAUUAGGCUCUCUCUCUCACACACACAUAUCAACGACCUAAUGCUUUUGUAGAAUUAUGUGAGAGUCAAUGAGGGUAGGAUGUUUAGUUUUUUCAAAGAAUUAUUCAUCUAAUUCUUUUUUUCUCGAGCCAUUACUGUGGGAGAUUAAUAUACUUUGAAAAAACUAAUCUCAUUAAUAUAAAAGUAUAUGAAUCCCCCCAAUACUAUACAUAGUUUAAAGAAGUUCUACCGCAAUAUUUGUAGAUUAGUGACUCAAUGUAUUAUAAAGCUAUACAUUAUAUGUAAGGAAUUUAAUACAGACUGUUAUGGGAAACUAUAUACUCCUUACAUGUAUAUAGCUUUAUAUGUGUAUUAGUUUCUGUUAUGUCUCCUAAAUGGUGCUCUGACCGACUGCUUUCAGAUCUAGAAACAAAUGAGUCUUUUUUUCAAAAAGCCACGAGUCAAAGAAUUUAUACUUCAUUUUAGUAUAGCGGGUCCAUUUAGGGCUCUAUCAAUUACUGUCAAUACAAACCCUGUCAGCUGCCGAAAAUGUUUCUAUGCAAAUAAAACAUUUCUACAAUAUAUAUUAGCAUGCUCUUCCUCUGCAGAAAAUCAAGCCAGCUGGAAAUAAUCGUCUGAAACUUUCUAAUAAAAUAAGUAAACCAAGCAUAUAGGGAGAGUACCUUGUAGACAAAACUAGAGCUGCCUUCGACUUUUUCAUGAUUUGAUGAUGCUAUUGCGGCAUCCAAUUCUGACCAAUUGUAGACUAUUAUCUCGCAAAAAUAAAACUAUAGUUUAUUAGCCUGUUGUACGAACAUAAUGGCGUAACAUAAUUUAAGUUACUGUGACAAUAAAACUUCUUAGUACGUUCUCCGAUCAUGAAAAUGUGACAUUUUGACACCUUUCCAGUUUAAACUUUUUAUACUUUCACAAUGAACUUCAAUCUUCCAGAAAAUUUGGGUCGAAAGCAUACAAAUCGUGUGUAUUUAUUUGUCUUAAAACUAAUUUUGUAAUACCAUAAUUUGUUCUAUUUUUAAAAAUAAAUUGAACAAGGAAACCAACCGUAACUUUGACUUCUUUGAUAAAUAUAUUUGAAUAGAAAAUAGUGAUGAAUUCAAAGCUACAGUCCAAGGCUGCGUUGCUAUUUAAAACAUCAUAUUCUCAUGACGACAUGAAGGAAGCUAGAUGAAGUGUUCAAUGUGAGGAAGCAAGCCAAUACCGCAAGUUUGUAAACAAUGACAAUGAUAUACGCACACCUGAUUUCUUUGUCUGGUUUUUGUUUUUGUUGCUAGCAUUGUCAGUUGAGUUGGUGGUCUGCACCGGUUGUUCCACCUGAAGUAGCAAAAUAGAAAGGAAUCAUAUACAGUACUUGCUACGACUGAGCACGGAUAAAAAUACAAUCUUAGUGUUGAGCUCUCUUUUCUCAAUAAUAAUCCUGCAAGUCAAUACCAUCGAGCAAAAUCAGUCCGGCACUACUAUAUAAUGCAUCCAUCCGUUCCGAAAUAUUUUCAUUCGUUUACUAUUUGUUAUUUACAAAUAUAUUUUGAAAUAGAUAAAUACACAAAGCAUGUUUGAAGUACUUUUGAUGACAAAUCUAGUGUUACUAAUUUCACUUUACUUAACCAAUUAAUUGAAUUUAUAUUGCUGGUCAAAGUUUGAGGAAAAAAGUCAAUAGUGAUUAUUAUUCCGGAAUGGAGGAAGUGACAUGUAUGUAGUAGUAAGGUAAAGCAAUGGUACCUUAUGUUCUAGGGGCACAAGAAGGGAUUUGAUGGCAUCCAAAAUUUUCUCCAAUUUGUUUGACUUUUGGUUGAUUUUUCGGUCCAGCAGUGAGUAGGUAGUGCGCCCAGCAAUAUCUUUUAACCAAAGUAUAUUCUGUAUUAUUUCUAGUCUCAGCACGUUCAGGUCGCGGGCUAUGUCGUCGGCCUUGAAGGCUUUGAGGGCGGCCCUAUUCUUUUGGCAUUUCUUUGCUUCCGUUGCCAUUCUCCCGAGGACACUUUUGAGACUCUCCAUUGUGUCCUUCAUGCUCUGGUUGUCUCUUAUCAGUGGCACCUCUGGGAGCAUCCUCAGGUCCUUGCACAGUGUUUCCAUAAAGUUGCAGAUGUUGCAGCACUCCAGAUUGUUAAACUUCUCCAACAGAGUCUUGAUCUCGGACCCGACAUCGAUGACCUCCUUCACCAGAUUGGCCAUCUCUGAACUUCACCAGUUAAAACGGUUAGAAAAUAAAGAUCGAUCAAGCAGAAAUCGUUUUAACCGUCUGUCACCCAAUAAAUCUCAAAUAUUGAUUCUCGAGAAUACUCGAGAUUCACAGCACAAUAAGCAAUAAUAAGCAAGCAAGGGUGCAUGUACUGACCUGAUUAUGAAUCCAAACAGCUCCUACUUGUCGAUCGAUUCUUCCUUGACGUUGCUAGACCUUCAAGUUCCUCUAGGCGAAACGACCUUUAGUUUGCCGGUCUUGAGUUAUCGUGGAAGGCGGGAAUCUGAUGAGUUAAGCAGCUCCUAUUGGCUGAUUGAUUUGUACUAGAAUUUGAUGAGUUGUGUGGAUGGAGUGGCAACAUGGGGCUUAUAUAUAGAAGGAGAGGGAGGGGGGGGGGGGGGGGGCGCAUGCAAGAGCCUAAUGACCAACGACGACCGCUUAUGAAAGAAAAAUCUUGUUACCCGUACCGUUUUAUUCCAUAUGCACGUAGUCAUUUCAUCUUCAUAAACAUGUGUGCUCCAGGCUUUCAACCUUAUUAAUUAUAGGUGUAAUGAUGCACCCACUAUGACAGCAAAGCAAAUGUGCUUUCACUCCUACUUUCAAAAAUUGUUGAUGCCAUGUUCAGUUCAUUCAUUAGAAAGGGGCUCCCGUUUCUCCUUUUCCUUUCUUAAUGACCAGGCAAAAGGUCUUUCAAGUUCUUUUAGUACUUAGUACAAGAUAGAUUAGGUGUUCUCACGGUGUGAUCAGCUGUACUGCUCGUACGAUUCGAAGAAAUCAUCGUACAACUUGCACAAAGCAACUUCUUGUGGGGAUCAGUGCAACUUGUCACGGAUAUAAUACUUUAAUUACCACCGAGGGUUGUUACAUUUCUUUCUUGGAACAGGCUCAUAUAGUAAGUAAAUAUAUGCUCAUUGUCUACACAAAGUAUAGAUUGCCGCGAGCAUAAAGGGUACGCGUGGUAUUUCCUUUGGAAGCUAAUAAGCAGCUUCCCCUAACAUGCCUACAAGAUUUAAUGGGAUUCAUGUGUUCCGUCCGAACCUUAGUUCACAUGGUACUGUUGCUAGCAUAGUUAGUAUAUAGUCUUUGCAACGUGGCUUAUAAAAUGGUUACGAAGCAUGCGACAUUCAACAUUAAUGCACAUGCGCCAUUUGCACUUAUAGGAGAACUCACAAUAUAAUCAUCCAUUAUUGAGAACGCAUGCGCAUCCAUCGUACUUAGCUCAGAUAUAUAAUCAUCCAUUAUCUUAGGUGGCCUGUCGAACCUAGAACAAUCCAUGGUACGCUUGCCUUGAUGAGGUCCCUCCCAGACGAGCAUUCGUUGGUUCUUCACCGAGCUCAUCAGCGAAACCGAUCUAACCACUCACUUAUACCGGUCUGACCUGCCUGUGCAGAGGAGCUGCAAGAAGCCCCUCCACGCUGCACGUUUGAGUGCAAGAGUAAUUGGCGCGGCACAUUUCUGGGUCAAGAGAAGUUCUUUGACAGGUGCACAAGAGUACGUCGUGGUUGCACCCGCAGAUCACUGCCUUUGAAUCGCUGGCACCAUGGCUGCUCGAAUAACCUCCAUGCGUGGACCACCAAGCCUAACAACAACCUCCUCCAUGGAGAGCCGCCGUGCCAGCUCAUGUAGACAGCAUAUAUAUCAGCCCGACAAGCACGCACCUUAAUGCCAUGCCCGGUCUGCUGCAUCGUCAGUUACCAGUUUUUUUAUCAAAUAGAUCCCUUUCCUGAAGCCUCUUAAGGGGUGUUUGGAUACCACCUGUUAAAGUUUAACACUUGUCACAUAGGAUGUUUAUACUAAUUAGGAGUAUUAAAUAUAUGCUAAUUACAAAACUAAUUGCAUAGCUGGAGUCUAAUUCGCGAGAUGAAUCUAUUAAGCCUAAUUAGUCCAUGAUUUGAUAAUGUGGUGCUACAGUAACCAUUUGCUAAUGAUGAAUUAAUUAAGCUUAAUAGAUACGUCUCGCGAAUUAGACUCCAUCUGUCAUAUAGUUUUGUAAUUAGCUCAUGUUUAGUCCUCCUAAUUAGCAUCCGAACAUCCAAUGUGACACUGCUAAAGUUUAGUACCUGGUAUCCAAACACCCUCUUAGCCUGCGAAAAAUAAAGAAACGAUUAUAUAUCCUCGCAAAAAAAGAGAAACGAUUAUAUAUAAGGUGAGCCUCACGAACAAAAAUAGCAUUUGUUUUCAUGGUGCAUGAUCACUCUAGUAAGCUUCAACUUUGUUUGGAAAGUCGUCCAAAUAUCAUAUACAGAUGUUGGUAAUCUAGAUGCAUAUUUAGGGGUUACUUUAGGUUACUUUCAAUUAUGGCAAAUGUGGGUAAUCUAUUAGAUGCAAAUUUUGGGAGUUCCUUUAUGUUAUUUCUUAUAAUGGCAUUUCUGGAUAAUUUAGAUGAAGAUUAGUGGGUUAUUUUAUAUUUUUUUCAUAAUGCUAGAGGAGAUAAUUUAGAUAUAGAUUUGGAGGGUUAGUUUAGACAACUUUUAUAAUGCGGGUAGGUAAUCUUUUCAGAAAACAUAAUAGAUCCAAUGGCCGAUUAUUUUUGAUUUUAUGAGAAUUUCUUGGAAUUUUUCUGUAGUCGAAUGUGUCUUAUAAGGAUUAUUGUAGAGACUCCAAUUAGUAAAAGUAGCAUCUUACCCUUUGGCCAGUAUGGUUCAUGUCGGGAGUGAUCAUAAAGGGAGGUUCCUUAAAAAAAAAAAGCUUUUCUAAAUUUGUUAAUCUUAGGAGACAUGUCGUUGUCUAACAGGAUAUCUUUUGGCUUCAGAUCCAUAUGGAGAACACUUUCCAUAUGCAGAUAUCGCACGCCCUUGGCUAUUCCUUGAAUUAUAUCGAAAAGAGAUAAUUUUAGUGCAAAUUUUGUGGAAUUCCUGGCCCAUUCAACAUGUUUAUCCCCUGCAGAAUAUGACGUAGGACAAAACUCUGGUUCCUUCAUGCUCUGGUUGUCUAUUAUCAUUGGCACCUCUGGGAGCAUCCUCAGGUCCUAGCACAGUGUUUCCAUGAAGUUUUGCAGAUGCUGCAGCACUCCUGAUGGUUCUCUUUAAACUUGUCCAACAGAGUCUUGAUCUCGGACCUGACAUCAUCUCGAUGACCUGCUUCACUAGAUCGGCCAUCUCCGAACUUCACCAGUAAAAACGGUUAGAAAAAAAAAGUUGGGUCUUCUCGAGAGAAUGAAUAACUAAACAGAUGAAUAUUUGAGAUUCAAAGCACAAUAACAAGCAAGGAGUUACUAAACAGACGAAUAUUUGAUCAUGAAUCAAAACAGCUCCUACUUGUCGAUCGAUUCUUCCGUGCCGUUGCUAGACUUUAAGUUCCUCCAGGCGAAACGACCUUUAUUAGUUUGCCGGUCUUGAGUUAUUGUGGGAGGCAGGAAUAUGAUGAGCUAAACAUAUAUCACUUGCAUGUGUUUGAAACAGCUAGUAACCUGGGACUACAUGUAUAAAGGAGGAGGGUGUGAUGGAAAAGCUGGAGGGAGAGGGUUGGGUGGGUGCGAUAAAGCAAGGAGCAUUGUAGCGUGUAAAGCAGAAUGUAUCGAUGCUUAAUGUUUUUAUAUGACUAUAGGCCAUGAAUCGUCAUGACUUAGCACAAAAAGUGCGAAAAGUUGUACAUGUUUUAUUAGAUUUCAGAUUGUUGAUAGGAUUCAUAUUCAAUUGCUGCUACGUAUCUAAAAGGAAUUGAAUCAAGUUUUAAAUAUUGUUUAGAGGAGGAGCUGGUGAUGGGAAAGCCAGUGCUGCAUGAAGUGGGCGUGAAGCAGGAAGGAAGUUUGUGAGAAGCACCAAGGAUGGAAAGACAAACAUAUUCCACGUCAACACGAAAUAGGUUCAACCUUAAUGUUUUUAUAUGACACCACCAGAACCCGUCGUUACUUAGCAUAAAGUGUGGAAAGUUAUUGUUUUCUUGGACGCUUUAGUUGGCUUAUUUAUCCCCCGCGCCCGGUAUGUUUUCUUGCUGUUUUUUCCUGUCCAGUUGGGUUUUUUUCAGGUUCCUAGGGGAGGCACCGGUGGUUGUGGAUGUCGAGUUGUUUCAGUCGUCCGGUUGUUUGUUUGUUUGGUUUCAUUCAUUCUUUCUUCUAACAAAAAUUACGGCAAAUCUCAUGCCGUUCCCUUAAAAAAGUUAUGUUAAAAAUUGAUGUCCGAUUUCAAAAUCUUACUAUUACUAAUUGGAGGCUCCUUUUGAAGCCUCCAGGUGAAGCCACCUAGGAUUCCUAGGUGGACACUCUAGAAAAAGAGAGAAAUCCUAGAAAUUCUCACAAAAAAACAAAAUAUCUGACCGUCAAUCGAUAGAUUUAAUCAUCAUAGCCAUUGAAUCUAUUAUGUUUUCUAAAAAAUUACCCAUCUAUACCAUUAUGAAAAUAGCCUAAAGUAACCCCCUAAACUAUAUAUAAAUUACCCACCUCUGCCAUUAUAUAAAAUAAACUAAAGUAACCCCUAAUCUUCAUCAAAAUUACCCACUUAUGCCAUUAAAUAAUAUUUAAAAUAACCCCCUAAUUUGCAACCGAAUUACACCACUAUUACUUAAAAACUUAAAGUAACCCAUUAAAUUUACAUCUGUAUUACGCACACAUGCUAUUAUUAAAAAUAACAUGAUAACCCUACGUUUGAAUCAAAUAACCUUAAUUAAAAAUAUACAGCAAUAUAUGAUUCUAAAUCGUCUAUAUCUUGCACUAUUGGUAUAUGAUAUAAUAAUUAAGGUAUAUACGCAUAAUGUGCAUCACCAUUUAUAAAGAUAUAGAGGAAGUGAUGAGAAUAUAGAUUUCUAUGUUAAAAUUGUAUCACAAACUUAGGGUUCAUUAAACAAAUUCAAGCGUAUACCUGCGAUGCAAAGUGAAAAGUUAAAGAUUAUAAAUGUGGAUGGAAAUAUUAUAGAGUAAUUACUAACUAAAAUCUAUCACAAUUGGAUGAAGAUAAUAAGUAUAUAUCUAUAUAAGUAUUGUGUUUGAAUAUUUAACAAACGAGAGGUAGCUUAUGGUAAUAUUUUUUAGCAAUGUAGUCUCAUUUUUUUCCAUUGGAGACUCCGCAUUAGUUCCCACGAGAUAAGCUAGAAAAAAGAGACAAAUUCUCAUAAAAAUCAAAAAUAUCAAACACCAAUCAUGUAAACUCUAGUAAUCAUAGCCAUUGAUCUAUUAUAUUUUCUAAAAAGUUACCCACCACUGUCAUUGUGAAAAUAUUCAAAAAUGAGCUCUAAACCUAUAUCUAAAUUACCGAGCUCAGCUAUUAUAAAAAUAAUCUAAAGUAACCCCAUAAUUUUCAUCCAAUUUACUAAUACAUAUCAUUAUAAAGCAUAACUUAAAAUGUCAUUCUAAAAUUUUAUCUAUAUUACCCAUGUAUAUUGUUAUUAAAAAUAAUCAAAAUUAAACACCUAAAUCUUAAUCUAAUUAUCUUCAUGUGCAUCAUACAGAAAUAUCAAAAAGUAAACUAAUAUAUGAUUCUAAAUUACCUAUUUAUGUAUAUACACAUGAUGAGUGUCACCAUUUAGACCAUUUAUACAUGUAUGUGAGGAAUCGAUGAAAAAUAUUGAUUUGUAUGCUAAACAUAAUGUAUGGAGGAUUGGAGCUGAGGUGCAAUACAAAAUGGAAAAAGUAUGAAUAUGGAUGAAAAAGUGCAUAGAAUAAUUAUUAAUUAAAAAUCAAUCACAACUGGACAAAGAUAGGUACAUAUCUAUAUAAGUAUUAUGUUGACAUAUUGAAAAAAUAAGAGAGUAGUCGGUAAUCAAUUUUGAUUAUUAGCUAGAAGUUUAAUUUCUAAAUAAUUUUCAAAUACAAUAGCUUAUAAAAAUAUUAGUCCGUGCGGGAGCACGGGUUGAUGGACUAGUGAAAUUGAAUCAGGUUUCUAAAAUUGUUGUACACCGACCACUAAUUGUUACACUAGGUUUCAAAAUUUAAUAGAUGCUUUUUAUGUAAUACAGGCAAUGUUUAUUGUUACAUCAUGAGUGAUGCACUCCACAACUCCACUGCCGCACGAAAGCAAAGGUGCAUUCAGAGACCUACUUUUUCUGAAACUGUUGAUGGGUUGUUCACUAGAUCGAGCCAACCGUUUCGCGGCCUUUUCCUUUCUUAAUGACCAGGCAAAAAAAGUUCUCUCGUAUGACUCGGAGAAAAAUUUGAGCACUUGCACAAGCAACGGCACUUGGGGGGAGGGGGGCUAAGUAUCAGGGCAACUUUGCCCGUAUAGCAACUUUAGCCUUGAUGGCGAAUGGGAUUGUGUAACUGUUUGUAAUAGCACUUGGUCUAAGAGGUCGCACGUCCGAUCCCUAGUGGGGACAAAUUAUGGUGGGUUUUCCAGGAUCUAUUUCUAGGUUGCUAUGGGUACACAUAUGUCCUGUUUAGUGGUACUGCAUGUUUCCAGCGCAACGAGGGCAGUAUUCUCUUCAAUCUCUCCUCUAGCUAGCUGUAUAUGAAUGUGCACGCAUGUGUGUGCGUGUGGUGUGAUUGUAGUGUGUUGUUGUGCGCGUUCAGGACCAUAUCUACAAAUUAGAGGCCCUGGAACAAAAUCCAUAAGGGCCCCUAAAAUUUGAAAAUGCGGCAAAAACCAAACUGCUGUGGGUGUAGGCAAUGUUUCCGGCGAAGCGAGCGCACAAAGCCUCCACCAGCGACGGCAGCUGGCAGCCCCUGCGCAGAGGAAUAGGAAAGAGGCGCGGCCGCUGCUGCUCCGAUCAUGUACAACGAAUGAAGCCAAACUGGUUUGAUGGUUUGAUGCAGUUGCCUCGUAGUCGUCGAUCAUCCUACUCUCGUGUGGUUCCUCCAAGCCAAGUCCAAAAGGGGCAGGGAUUUAUUUCCUGGUCGUUUCGGAAGCUAAAAAGCAUCAUUCCUACAAGAUUUAGAUGGGCUGCACGACACAGAGAAGCCCAUGACACAGGACACCGAGACAACUACUCUCGGGCUUCAUCGUCCCCGCAUCCCGGGUCCCCAACGGCGGUGGCGAUCGCGGCGGCGGCGCUGGCGAGAGGCCGGGGCCAGUGCCACCCGCGGUUUGCGGGGGGGGGGGGGGGGGGGGGGGGGGGNNNNNNNNNNNNNNNNNNNNNNNNNNNNNNNNNNNNNNNNNNNNNNNNNNNNNNNNNNNNNNNNNNNNNNNNNNNNNNNNNNNNNNNNNNNNNNNNNNNNAAUGACAUGCCAUGAGCUUGCAGCCGGUUGCUGCCUAAAUUAUUGCUCCUUGCUCUUAGAUAAUUUCUACAAUAGCUUGUUUAAUUACACUGUCUGUACACUAUUAAUGCAUGUAUAGCCGAACUUGUGGGCAUCUACGCCUAUUGCGUCUACCCUUAAAUCUCGUAUAGUAAAUAAAAUUAAAAAUAUUGAAAAAUAGAGGGGAAAGUAAAAAAAAUGUAGAUGAAAAAAGAACAGGACUGCCCCCUUUAACUCUUCCUCUCAAUCUCACUGCCGUGAGGCCCUUAUCUCUUGUCGGGAUCUGCGCCGCGCGGGGCUUUAAGUAGCAGUCUGACUUCUCUUUGGGAUGGGGAUAGGAGACUGUAGCAAAUCUUGGAAGAAAUGCGGUGGUAGCAAAUCUUGGAAGCAAUGCUGCUGACUGAAACCAGAUUAUGUGCCUUUAUGUCAGUAGGAUAGCAACCCACGAGAUGUGUCAGUAGUCAAUUAGUGAGACAUUCCAUCAGUUGUGUGAUUGUUCCUUCUUUUCCAUGGGAAACUUCUCCACUUAGUCUCUUUAUCAAUGAUAUAUAGCACACAAAGUCGGAGUCACUUAAGAAUCAGAAAGUCCAAUACAUACACACAGCAAUGUUGGUGAUGAAAUAAUACACGCAAACCAAAUUCCCACACAGAGACUCCAGAUUACAGGUAGUGCAACUCUCUGGUACGCACACACAAACUGGCACAGGCAUGCAAGAUAACACAUUUCAUGUCCUGAGGGUACAGAGAAGAAAGAACUAAGACCAAACACAUGGCGUACAUGCAGAAAAACCAAAUGAAGAGGCACAUGAAGGAAGACUGAUCAAAACUCUGUUAGGCAUGGCUAGCUGCAUGGCCCUGAUAGGAGAUGGCCAGGCUUCUCUGUUAGGCAUGGCUAGGUAUUUAAUGGAUUGUGAUAUAGCAACAAAUAAUGCUUCCAGUUGAUGUCGAGACCAAUUGACCUACACACGGAGCUGAUGAUAUAGCAAAUGAUGCUUUCUUCAAGGCCUCUACCGUGGCUCACUCGGCUGGCGCUCCUGGUGUGGAUUAUUCACUAGAAUGGCAUUAUUAGGAUGCCCUUCAAGUGCUUCUUUAAUCGGGUCCAGAUCACAGUCACCGUUGAGCUCCAGCUUCUUCAACCUAGGGAGCCAGUCGAUUCCAGAAAGAGCAUCCAUAGUUGCAAAAGUCCACACAAUCCUCUCGAGCUUAGGAGCUGCACCAAUGGCAAAUCUAAUUUUGGUGAUGUCUUAAUUGGUCCUCGACAAGGAGAGAGUUGAGACUUUGGAAUUCAAAUUUCUUGUAGGCGAGCUCACUUCCGGUGUAUGACUUAUGCUGAAACCUGAGGCCGCGGAGGCCAUCAAGGUUGCCAAUGAUACGUAGAUCAUCUUGCUUCAAAUAAGCAUCACUCAGUGUUAUCUUGGCAAGUUGAUGGCGAUCUUUAAUAGAGUGAACAAGCCCACUAGUGAUGCCACAGAUGUUCAGACUUUCAAUGAACUCUGGAAGGGUGGGUAAAGCAUCUACCUCUUCUGUACCAGCUGUUCCGACAAAUCGGAUCGACAACGAACGAAGGCAUUUAUGUAAUUUCUUAAUCUGAAAGAACGUAUCACCUAACUUGACAUGUUUACCUCGAAGGGCUACACCAAGUUUCCUCAGUUUCAGCAGCUGAGCGAUGCCGAAAAGAUCACUGUCCUUGUUGGUAACUUGGAUAUGGGACAGUAUCUCUAUGUUUCUCAUUUUCUGAAUUCCGAGGGGCAUGCUUACUGUAGCAAAUGAUUCUUCAGAUGUCAUAGUGUCUUUGCCUGCAGAGACCUUGUGACCAGCAAGGAAAUGCUUUAGCAGUGGUAGCACAAUAGGCUUCUUGAGCUAAUUACAAAACUAAUAGCAGAACCUCUAGGCUAAAUCACGAGACGAAUCUAUUGAGCCUAAUUAAUCCAUCAUUAGCGAAUGAUUACUGUAGCACCACAUUGUCAAAUUAUGGACUAAUUAGGCUUAAUAGAUUCGUUUCGCGAUUUAGCCUAGGGGUUGUGUAAUUAGUUUUGUAAUUAGUCUAGGUUUAAUACUCCUAAUUUGUGUCCAAACAUUCGAUGUGACGGGGACUAAAAUUUUAUCCCCUCCUCCCAAACACCCCCUUAAUCUUGGAUGAAAUGUCCCUUUCAUGCUACAGCACCAAAUGAUGAGGCAAUCGUUGCAAGUUGUUUAGUUUAUUGUUUAAGCUUAGAUUUUCAGCUUGUCUCGGCCAGCAGCUUGUGUGCUUGAGUAUCUUUCGGGUUGCCAUGAAUGGAUUAACAUUUGAUUAAUCUUAAGCCUUGCAUGUUUGGCCGGCUGUGUAGCUCCUGUUUUUGUGUCGUCUGCGUACAGUAGCUUUUGCUUGUGGCGACAAGAGCUCUUGGCUGCUCUCACUAGUAAGCCUAGUUUUUUCAUGCAUGGUUGAUUAGUGAUUUUGCAAGCAAGCUUUUAAGUGCAGUUUCUUCUAAGCUUAAUCAUCUUUGCUUCCGUUACACUUUUAGCUUUUCUAAUCAUUCCUUGGUGAGUUUGUCAUGAGUUGACUUGUGUCAUGUUAGCGAUUAGGAGCGAUAUGUGUUUAGGGUGGUAAUCGGAAUAUAGGCCUUGUUCUCAGAGAAAAUUUUUAAACGCUCCCAUUCAUCCCUCUGGUCGUCCGUCCCUAUCGUUCAGGUAUACAUGUUCCUAUCCUAUCUUUAACUUAUAUUGUUGAUGAUGCGCAGAGGAUAUUGACCGCUUGUAACAAUGAUGUAAGUGACUGAAAAUGUUAUUCCGUGUCUCUAUACCCAUCACUUCCUUCUUUAUUUCAAAGUAAUAGAACGGAUGCCUGUCACUUUCGACGAUCUUUACUCAUCACUGAUAUAACUCUUUGUACCAAGGAAAAGAACCGAAUGCACGCACUAUGGGUUUGUUUGGAUGUGACCUGGCAAACCUGCCUAGGUCGGGCAGCGAUCUCAGUCGUUCGAUUUGUGGCGGGGUCUCAGAAAGGGAGAGUGCAGUGGACUCUGAAGAUUGGAUACAUGCAUGCUUCAAGCUUAGAAUGUGACAUGAUCCAGAAAAAGAAUGCAUUCCUGUGAAGUGGUAAAGAAUUUUCAACAUCCAUAAAGGCUGUUGAAAGAACGCUGGAUUUUAAAAACAAACUCGUAAGACCAUCGUCAACCCUUACUCAAACAAGUAACGGCAGAACAAUGCAGAAGCAGUUGGCACCAUUUGCCAGCUGAUCGACGUCCGAUCGAUCGAGCAAACAUCAAACCCCAAUCUCGACCGGCACUCAUCCACUCGAUCAACACACAGCAGCAACCCCACCCCACUCACUCUCGAUCAGGCACUCAUGGUUCGGCCGCCGUCGAUGCAGAUGACUUGCCCGGUGAUGUAGGACGCCGCCCGGCAUGCAGAGGAACGACACGGCGGACGCCACCUCCGCCGGCUCGCCGGUCCGCCGCAUCGGGAUCCCGCGACACCUCUUGCUCCAGCGCUCCAGCCGGCGCCUGUGUGCAUGUACAUAUUCGACUAAUAUUUAACACUUAUGAGUAAAUCACCAAAAUUCCAGUGCUUUAGCUCGCAGAUUAAACUCUUACAUCUUUGACCAUGUCAGUCAUGAUCGUGCCCGGCGCGAUGCAGUUCACGCGGAUCUUGUCGCAGGCCCACUCGGCAGCCAGGCUCCUCGUCAGCUGGUUCAGUCCCCCUGCAUCAACGCCGCAAGAGGCGAAUUGAAAAUGCUUGCUUGUGCGGAAUUUGAAAAUGAAAUUUAAAUUUGUCUUUGUAUAUCUUUUCGAAUGGAUAUCACUGUGAUAUACCUUUGGCGGUGGAGUAGAGCGCUUCCCAUGGGUAGCCAAUGACGCUAGCAAUGGAGGAGAUGUGGACGAUGCUUCCACAGCCGGCGACGGCGGCGUUCCGGAGGAGAGGGUGCGCGAGCUGGCUGAGGUGGAAGCACGACUCCAGGUUGGUCGCCAUGAGCCGCGAGUA
Molecule: long non-coding RNA, 66543 nt
Filed under: Setaria italica (foxtail millet)
Lineage: Eukaryota; Viridiplantae; Streptophyta; Magnoliopsida; Poales; Poaceae
Description: long non-coding RNA (SITA_LNC006236)
Source: RNAcentral